RNAcentral lists this long non-coding RNA (62336 nucleotides) under Hordeum vulgare. Its description in RNAcentral is "long non-coding RNA (HVUL_LNC013420)". The record is from RNAcentral. Lineage: Eukaryota; Viridiplantae; Streptophyta; Magnoliopsida; Poales; Poaceae.
AAAUUUUGAAGAAUUGAUAGAAUCCAGGUAAAAAAUUGUGCGUUUAUGAAGAAUUACCCAUGGAUGAAAGAGAAAUUAAAGAGAUGGAACGGUGGCCAUGGCCGGCGGCAUAGGUGCGGGUACCCUAGGAUGGAUCAAAUCAAAGCGGUACCCUAUCCACGACGGCACUUCCAUUCCAUCGUCGUCCCCGGUAAACAUCCGCCAUUAUAAAUACCGCCGAAGCUCUCACUCCCACUCCCACGCGCCCCCGGCCAAAGACCAAAAGCCCCUCUCCUUUUCCGCCAUUAAAAUACUCCGCCCGGAAGAAACUCCCCGAAGCACCAGUGACCGCGCUAGGCUGCUAGCGUUGCGUAUUGGUGGUUGGUGCUUUGGUGGUGGUAUAUCGGGUUUCGCGCGCCUGCGGCGGCCGGUGUAGCCUUUGGGAGGUAGUAGUGCCCGGGUGGGGGAUGUACGGCGCGCCGCUGUCCAAGGACCUCAACCUGCCAGCCCAGCAGCACCCGGCGGCGAACGGCGUNNNNNNNNNNNNNNNNNNNNNNNNNNNNNNNNNNNNNNNNNNNNNNNNNNNNNNNNNNNNNNNNNNNNNNNNNNNNNNNNNNNNNNNNNNNNNNNNNNNNAAAGAUUGCGUUUGUUUCCGGUGAGAAUCUCAUAUGGGGUCUUGUUCAAGCCUUUGCGGAUAUAGAGCCGAUUGGAUGCAUGACAUGCUGUGUUGAUGGCUUCGACCCAAAAGUUAUAUGGAGAUUUCAAUUCCGCCAUCAUUGUUCUUGCAGCGUCCAUCAGUGUCCGGUUCUUCCUUUCCGCCACACCAUUUUGUUGAGGGGUAUAUGGUGCCGAAUAUUGAUGUUUUAUUCCCUCAUCACCUCGAAACUCAUCCAAGGUGUAGUUCUUGAACUCGGUGCCGUUGUCACUUCUGAUCAUCAAAAUCUUUGCUUCAUGUUGACGUUGACCUUCGUUAGCAAAGUUGAUAACAGUUUGUUGAGUCUCACUCUUCCUCUUAAAGAAAUAUACCCACGUGUAUCUUAAGUAAUCAUCAAUAAUCACCAAGAAGUACUUUCUGCCCCCAAGACUAUCAAAUGAUGGGGGACCGAAGAGAUCCAUAUGAAGGAGCUCCAGCGGUCUCUUAGUGUAAAUGAGAGUCGUUGGACGAUGAGCAGUUUCAUGGAUUUUUCCUUCGAUGCACGCACUGCAAGCACGAUCUCUGCCAAAACUCACAUUUGUUAGUCCACGAAUAUGGUCCCCUUUGAGGAGACUUUGCAAAGAUCUCAUAUUGACAUGAGCUAGUCGGCGAUGCCAAAGCCAACCCACAUCAACUUUAGCCAUUAGACACGUCGCAGUCUUAGUGGGUCGCUUUGAAAAGUUCACCACAUAGAGACCAUUUUCGACAUAUCCAACAUAGACUACUUUAAGAGUCUUGCUCCAAAAAAGGACCAUAGUAUCAAGAUUAAAGAAUGUGGAAAAGCCCAUAAUUGCAAGUUGACGAACCGAAAGUAAAUUAUAAGCAAGGGACUCUACAAGCAUGACCUUCUCAAUAGAUAACUCUUGAGAGAUGACCACCUUACCAAAUCCCAAUACCUUUGAUGAUGAUGCAUCGGCGAAUUGGACAUGGGUGGGCAUAGAUGGGGAAGGAUGCACAUCCACCACUAAGUCCUUGCUUCCGAUCAUAUGAUUUGUUGCUCCACUAUCGAGCAACCAUGACACCCCACCGGAAGAAAACUCCUGCAAUAGAUCAAGGCUUGGUUUUAGGUACCCAUUUUUGAAUGGGUCCUUUAAUGUUAGAGACAAGGGUCUUAGGAACCCAAAUAGCACAUUCAAUGUACUCAUAGUAAGAACCAACAAAUCUGGCAUAAACAUGCCCAUCACCAGCACGACAUAAAACAUAGGAAGGAUUUAGUUCGCCCGCUGUGUUGGUAGGAAUGGUUUUGCCCUUCUUGAUGCUCCCAUUUUCCACCUUGUUCCUCUUCACCUCCUGAUGGGGUUAUAAUCCUAGGGUAGGGUCAUAGGUCUGCCCUAUAAGUCCUACCCAAGGACUACCCUUCAUAAGGGAUAAGACCCUUAAUCAGUUCCGACUGAAUUAAGGACAUCCCAUCAUCCAGUCGGUAACGAAUCCUCCACCAUCCAGUCGGAGAUGAGCAUUCGGAGUAUAUCAAACUAACCGCCUGGAUUCCACUCUGGGCAUCGUAACCCCCCUAGAGGGAAAUGGUCGUACGUUUCCAUGUACAUUUAUUAGCAUUUAAGACGUACAUUACCUGUAACGUAGGCAUUUAUUCGCCACUCCUCCACCCCUGUGCAUCGAACCGUUGUGGAGGGCAGCGCUCUCUACAUAAGCUGCCCUCCCCCACUGGUGCAGGGGUGAGCAAUUCACUGUAAUCCGUAUUCCACUCGACAACAAGCUCCUAGAGUGCUGAGACGUAGGGCUAUUACCUCCACCGUAGAGGGGCCCGAACUCAUACAACAUCGCCGUAGCUAAGGCUCUGCCCAUCCUUUCGUACCCUACACAUCUACUGUCAGACUUAUACCCACGACAGUUGGCGCCCACCAUGGGGCAGGCGUCUAAGCGACUUCCGGCGAGUUUGCGACUACAUCUUUUCGCCAUGUCAUCUGGUGGAGAUUCGAGCAUGGGUCACGAGAUCCUCUUCGGCGCUAUCUCCUUCAUCAUCGACGAUUCGGCAUGGCUUCGGGACGCCCCUCUCGAUGUCGAGGCGCUCCCCCAUCGCGGAGCUACGCACUUCCGUGCUGGCGCCCGCGGCAUUCUUCUUCUCCAGCAGUCGGCUCCGGUGUCGACCUAAAUCGCCGUCACGCGCCGCAACAAGCGGUCCCGCCGUCCGCGGCUCCAGCAUUGGUGCAACACGCCCAAGCACGCCAGAACGCGUCUUCACAGGUGGCGGUCCUAGAGUCGGUUGUGGUUGCCCCGCCGUCCCAGCGCUCGGACUCGGUUCCGACUGAGUUUCCUUCCGAGUACUUGGGUCGCGGGCCUGCAGCAGAAGUACACAUGGCCAACUCCCAUGAAAGUCCCCGCCAAACUGGCCGGAACGAGCGCGAGAUCGGUGAAACAUCCGACGCCCGCCGUCCACCUCGCAGUUCUGCCAGUCGGCACACUCGGCGGAGCGACGUGGAGUUGUUCCGCACACCCAUCCUCAACUUGGCUGCCGCUGCCAAGAUAGCCGAUUCCCUUCGGCCGACUGAUUCACAGGCUAGCAGGGGGAUCGAGCAAUUCCGCGCCCUGCUGCACACGGCGCAGUAGCAAAACUCGGUGGUCUCUCAGUCACACAACAGGAUCCACAAUAGUUCUGUUCAUGCGAACACGCAUCGGUCAGUUCACAACCCUGGUUCUCAUCAGCGACCCAGGGGAGGCAGCUGCUCCGUGAAUCCCGAAGGUCGUCGCCGUUCACGCACCCCUCCGCGAGGUGGGCCUUACGGGCCCCGACAUCAUGAUGAUCGGCGUUCAAUCGAUGACACUUACGAUCCAAGGCCCGACGCGAGAGGGCAUAUCGCCCAGCGUAGGGUCGACAGGGGCCGAGCCCACCGCGAUGGUAACGAUAUUGACCGUCCGAGUGGAAGCAGGACCAUCGUUUCUGGUCCCGAGUGUUUCAGUCGAGCCAUCCGUUCGGCUGACAUCCCUCCCAACUUCCGAUUGGCGACGGGGAUCAGCAAGUUUACAGGAGAGUCCAAGCCAGAAACGUGGAUGGAUGACUACCGAGUGGCAGUCCAGAUCGGAGGAGGGGACGACCACAUCGCCAUGAAGCACCUCCCUCUGAUGCUCGAUGGCUCGGCGCGAGCAUGGCUGAACCAAUUGGCCCCCUCAAGCAUCUACAGCUGGGCAGAUCUGGCCCGAGUAUUCAUCAGGACCUUCGGAGGGAUGUGCAAACGCCCUGCUGGCCUCGUGGAGCUCCAGCACUGCGUCCAGAAGCAGAAUGAGCCCCUGCGCGAUUUCAUUCAGCGUUGGACGACCCUCUACCACAUGGUGGAGAACGUCAGAGAGCACCAAGGAGUCUGCGCCUUCAAGGCAGGCGUGCGGUACAGAGAUCUGUACCUGAAGUUUGGUCGAACAGGCGAUAUCUCCAUGAGCAAGAUGAUGGAGAUAGCGGCACGCUAUGCAAAUGGCGAAGAAGAGGACCGCAUCCGCAGCGGCAAGCACAAAACAGUCGCCGACGGAGAUGGGAAUAACACUCGGAAACAGAAGCAGAAAGUUCCGUCCACUCCGCAGGCAGAAGCCGCAGCUGUUACCAAUGCCAAGUUCAAGGGCAAGGGGAAGGCUCAGUUCACCCCCAAGAAGAAGCAGUUCAACAACCCCAUCUUGGACCAGCCAUGUCCGAUUCACACGAAGAUGGAUGAAGAGGGCAACGCCAUAUAUCCGAAGCAUACAACUCGGCAAUGUCGCCUCCUGAUCUAGGGGUUCGGCGACGGGCAACCGAGUGAAAAGGGCAAUGAGCAAGAUGAGGAGGACAAGGAGGAUCCGUUCCCCCAAGUCCAUGCAACACUGAUGAUUUUUGCUGACGUUGAGAGCAAGAGUCGACUGAAGCUGGUGAACAGGGAGGUGAACAUGGCCAUGCCGACCAACCCCACGUUUCUCAAAUGGUCUCAGACUGCGAUUACCUUUGACCAGUCGGAUCUUCCAGCACACGUGCCCACCCCACGGAGGCAAGCUGUGGUCGUCGACCCGGUGGUGGAAGGAGUCCGACUGCGCAAAGUCCUCAUGGACGGCGGCAGUGGUUUGAACAUCAUGUACGCUGACACUCUCAAAGGGAUGGGCAUUCCGAUGUCCAAACUUAGCGAGAGCAGCAUGCAUUUCCACGGAGUCAUCCCUGGACGAAAGGCCAAGUCACUCGGCCAGAUCGUGUUGGACGUCGUUUUUGGCUCCGACAAGAACUUCCGCAAGGAAAAGCCGACGUUCGAGGUGGUGGACUUCCAGAGCGCUUACCACACAAUUCUGCGCCGCCCGGCGUAUGCGCGUUUCAUGGCCCGUCCAUGUUACGUAUACCUGAAGCUGAAGAUGCCAGGCCCGAAAGGUGUGAUAACUAUCACAGGCAAUCGACAGCGGGCCGAGGAGUGUCUGCAGCAGGGAUCAAGAAUCGCCGAUCAGCAGAUGGACGUCCUCGAGCUUGAUGAGUACAAGAAAACAGUCGACCCCGCUGAUUUGAUGCGUUCGAAGAAGCCAGCUUCAGAGUCCGCAUUCCAGUCGGCGGGAGAGACGAAGAAGGUCAGCAUCCACCCAACGGACGACACCGCUGCCCCGACGAACAUCUCCACCACCCUCGAUCCUAAAUAGGAAGUCGAGCUCAUCCAAUUCCUCCGUAAGAACUGGGACAUCUUUGCAUGGAAGCCUUCUGACAUGCCAGGUGUACCCAGGGAGUUGGCUGAGCACCGACUGCACGUGGAUCCCGCCGCUCGGCCUGUCCGAGAAUGCAUGCGCCGGUCUGCCGCGCACAAGAGGAAGGCAAUCGGGGAAGAGGUGGCCAAGCUUUUGGCAGCCAACUUCAUUCGUGAGGUUCACCACUCCGAGUGGCUCGCCAAUGUUGUCAUGGUGCCCAAGAAGGAUAAGUCGCUCCGAAUGCGCAUCGACUUCAAGCAUCUCAAUAAGGUCUGCCCGAAAGACCACUUUCUGCUCCCCCGCAUCGAUCAAAUUGUCGAUUCGACUGCGGGUUGCGAGCGUUUGUCAUUUCUUGAUGCCUACUCGGGCUAUCAUCAGAUCCGUCUGUAUGGCCCCGAUGAAUUAAAAACAGCCUUCAUCACCCCAUUCGGGUGCUUCUCCUACAUCACUAUGCCAUUUGGUUUGAAGAAUGCAGGAGCAACCUUUAUGCGCAUGAUCCAAAAAUGCCUUCUCGACCAGAUCGGUCGGAAUGUGGAGGCGUAUAUGGAUGAUAUCAUAGUCAAGUCAUGCAAAGGUUCCGACCUGCUAAGUGACUUGGCAGAAACAUUCGCCAACCUUUGUAGGUACGAUAUCGAGCUCAACCCAGCCAAGUGUUCAUUCGGUGUUCCCACCGGAAAGUUACUCGGUUUCUUCGUUUCCGAACAAGGGAUCGAUGUCAACCCCGAAAAGAUUGGGACCAUCGUCCGAAUGGAGCGGCCGGUCAGAAUACACGAUGUUCAAAGGCUCACAGGUUUCCUAGCGGCUUUGAUCAGGUUUAUCAGUCGACUCGGCGAGAAGGCACUUCCUCUAUACCGACUCAUGAAAAAAUCAGACACCUUCGAGUGGACAGACGAAGCCCAAGUCGCAUUCGACGACCUCAAAGUCCUACUUUCCACCCAGUCGGUUCUUACUGCUCCGUUCAGUAAAGAGCCCCUUCUUCUGUACAUCGUGGCUACAAAUCAAGUCGUCAGCACUGUUCUCACAGUCGAACGAGAAGAAGAAGGCAAAGCAUACAAAGUUCAGCGGCUAGUGUAUUACGUCUCCGAAGUCCUGACUCCUUCGAAGCAGAGGUAUCCCCACUAUCAAAAACUUAUUUACGGGAUUUACAUGACUCCGAAGAAGGUGGCUCACCAUUUCCAAGACCACUCGGUGUCCGUCAUUUCUGAUGCUCCGUUGUCGGAAAUCCUCUACAAUCGGGACGCAUCAGGCCGAGUGGCGAAGUGGGCAAUGGAGAUGUUGUACUGCCACAUCAAGUUAGAGGCCAAGAAAGCUAUAAAGUCUCAAGCUCUGGCUGACUUCAUAGCAGAAUGGGUAGAACAACAGCAACCGACCCACAUCUACUCGGCUCAUUGGACAAUGUUCUUCGAUGGGUCCAAGAUGUUAAACGGCUCCGGCGCUGGCGUUGUGAUCAUAUCGCCAAAGGGCGACAAACUCAAGUAUGUGCUGCAGAUACACUUUGAUUCCUCCAACAAUGAGGCAGAGUAUGAAGCUCUCCUUUACGGAUUGCACAUGGCCAUCUCACUCGGCGUCCGUCGCCUGAUGGUCUAUGGCGAUUCAGAUUUGGUGGUCAAUCAAGUGAUGAAGGAGUGGGACGUCAGGAACCCCACCAUGACCACGUACUGCAAUGCAGUGAGGAAGCUUGAGAAAAAGUUUGAAGGUUUGGAACUCCACCACGUUCCGCGACUGAAAAACCAAGCAGCUGAUGAGUUGGCAAAACUCGGAUCUACUCGGAGACCAGUUCCGAGUGACGUCUGCCUCGAGCACCUCCACCUUCCCUCAGUUAAAGAAGAUCCCUUCACAGAGGAACCAGUACAACCAAAGAGCUCGACGGACCCGACUGAAGUCGAAGUACCUGCCGUGGUUGAUUUGAUCAUGGAGAUUCUUGCUGUCAUCCCCGAGAGGACUGUGCCAUUCAUUGCAUACAUCCUGAGGCAAGAAUUACCGGAAGACGAAGUCCAAGCCAGACAGAUCGUCCGCAGGUCAAAGUCGUUCACUGUCAUUGACGGCCAGUUGUACAAGGAAAGCAUUUCUGGCGUCCUUCAACGAUGCAUCUCCCCUGAGGAGGGACAGUUGAUCCUGGAAGAAAUUCACUCGGGAACCUGCGGCCAUCACGCCUCUUCAAGAGCAAUCGUCGCCAAAGCAUUCAGAGCUGGCUUCUUCUGGCUGCAGGCGAACGAAAUGGCUAAAGAUAUGGUCGACCGAUGUGAAGGCUGUCAGUUCUACUCCAACAAGUCCCACAAGCCAACAUCCGCGUUGAAGACAAUCCCUCUUGUUUGGCCGUUUGUAGUAUGGGGAUUAGAUACAGUCGGUCCAUUCAGGACAGGCCAAGGGGGAUACACACAUCUGUUGGUGGCAGUCGACAAAUUCACAAAGUGGAUCGAAGCCAAGCCCAUCAAGAAGCUCGAUGCUCUAACGGCCAUCAAGUUUGUCAGGGACAUCAUCUCCAGAUUCGGGGUACCUCACAGUAUAAUCACUGACAACGGAACAAACUUUGACUCGGACAGAUUCAAAGGUUUCUGUACAGGCCAAGGUAUCCGAGUGGAUUUUGCAUCUGUGGCGCAUCCCCAAACAAACGGGCAAGCAGAGCGGGCGAAUGGACUUAUUCUGCAAGGUUUGAAGCCUCGACUCCUGCGAGAGGUGGGACAUGCUGCUGGUGCAUGGGUCACCGAGCUACCUUCGGUGCUCUGGGGUCUCCGCACAACCCCAAAAAGAUCUACAGGGCGAUCCCCGUUCUUUCUCGUUUACAGAGCAGAGGCAGUCCUUCCGAGUGACUUGCUUCACAAUGCUCCACGAGUUGAACUCUUCUCCGAAGCUGAAGCAGAACAAGCAAGGCAAGACGGAGUGGAUCUUCUAGAGGAGGAGCGCGAGAUGGCACUGACUCGCUCAACAAUUUAUCAACAAGAUCUGCGGCGCUUUCACGCGUGACAUGUCAGGAGUCGUACAUUCCAAGCAGGCGACCUGGUGCUCCGAGUGGAUCAGCAGAGACCUCAUAAGUUGGCUCCCACCUGGGAAGGACCCUUCAUCAUCUCCAAGGUGCUGAACAACGGAGCAUACCGACUCUACAACAUCGACAGGGAAACGGAUGAGCCGCGAGCAUGGAACGGAGAUCUCCUGAAGCGCUUCUACACGUGACCGUCGACUGAAGCAAUGUAAAGAACAAGUACUGGUGAAAUAAUACAAAGUAGAUUGAGUUUUUUUUCUUUUCAGAUUCAAAAUUCUUCCGCGGUCGUAGACUCCGGUCUCAAAAAAAAACUUAGCUGCGAUCCAGAAUCGCCUAAGUAUUAACUUUCUCCGAGUGUGCACUUAACGUCGCACUCGGGGACUUAGCUGCGAUCAAGAAUCGCCUAAGUACAAAUUUUCUUCGAGUGUGCACUAAACGUCGCACUCGGGGACUUAGCUGCGAUCCAGAGUCGCCUAAGUACUAACUUUCUCUGAGUGUGCACUAAACAUCACACUCGGGGACUUAGCUGCGAUCAAGAAUCGCCUAAGUACAAACUUUCUCCGAGUGUGCACUAAACGUCGCACUCGGGGACUUAGCUGCGAUCACGAAACGCCUAACUACACACUUUCUCCGAGUGUGCACUUAACGUUGCACUCGAGGACUUGUUUGCGAUCAAGAAUCGCUUAAAUAGAAAGCUUCCUUCGAGUGUAUCUCACAGAUCCACUCGGAGGCUUAGCAGACCCUCAUUGAGGCUCAUGUAGAUGUAAAGAUCACUGACAAUUACAUGAGUAGCAGACCCUCAUUGAGGCCCAUGUAGAUGUCAAGACCACUGACAAUUACAUGAGUAGCAGACCCUCAUUGAGGCUCAUGUAGAUGUCAAGACCACUAACAAUUACAUGAGCAGAAGAACCUCAUUGAGGCUCAUGUAGAUGUCAAGACCACUGACAAUUACAUGGGUAACAACUCGCUCUGAGUACGACCUCACAGUCGCACCCGAAGACUUAGCCGCGAUCCCGAAUCGCCUAAGUACUCUAUUGCUUUCGAGUGUAUCUUACAGAUCCACUCGGAGGCUUAGCAGACCCUCAUUGAGGCUCAUGUAGAUGUCAAGACCACUGACAAUUACAUGAGUAACAACUCGCUCUAGGUGCGACCUGACAGUCACACUCGAAGACUUAGCCGCGAUCACGAAUCGCCUAAGUACUCUAUUGCCUUCGAGUGUAUCCUACAGAUCCACUCGGAGACUCAGCAGACCCUUAGUGAGGCUCAUGCAGAUGUCAAGACAACUGACAAUUACAUGCUCCGCAUGUUUUCCAUUGGCUUCACCAAGAAACGCCAAACAAAAAACACGAGCCAAAAUCGUAUCAACAACUCUUUGGCAAAAGAAGAGCAAAAGAUUCGAUUCAAAUUCAAAGUUCACCUAAAGAUAGUUGGCUUGGUGUAAAUCAAGCUUACCCACACCGAACCAAGAAUGUGACGGCCAACAGCAGUGGCCAAAGUUUCUUACACCCAACACUCGGCAUACCGAGGUAAAAGUUUUCUCAAACGACAUCAGGACUGGCGCUGGGACUGGCAGGCUCUACGAAUGUGUCGAGGUCGAUCCCGUCGGCGAUGCGAGUGGCGCUCUCAAGGAAGGUCUCCAUGAAGUCUUCGAAUCGAAGCUUUUUCGUGUUGGCGACCUACAACGCCUUCAGCUUCUCUUCGCGAGCCUCCUUGCAGUGCACUCGGACCAAAGACAGAGCGACGUCCACACCACAGCGAGCCGCAGACUUCUUCCACGCCUGCACUCGGUUCAGGACCUCCUCCAACCGAGUCAUCAAGCCUUCCAUCUCGUGCCGAGACUCGUCUUCAGGCCAAAGCUCCUUGUCGAUUCGGCCGACGACUUCUCUAAGUCGACCGAUGAAAGGUCCAACUUUGCCCAGACGAAUGUGCGCUCGGAGCAGAUCUCGGUUGGCGUCCUCGCCGAGUGGAAUGUUCUCAAGAAUCGACCGCUCAAUGUCAGAUGCUUCCACCUCAGCGUCCAUGCAAAAAUCUGCAAAGACAGGACGAGCAAACAAUAAGCGCCGAAUUAAAUGCACAGUCCACAAGCACUCGGAAAAACAGAACUUACCACCCAGAAGCGCUAUCAUCUUCCGGGCCCAGUCACUGACAUAUUUUUCCUGUGCUAUACACCGCCUGUUCAACACUUUCAUUUGUCCCAUCAGCUCGGUCCUUUGCUUCCCCAUUUUCUCCACUUCAGCAGUCAAUGCCUUGUUUGCCUCACGGGCCUGCUCCAAGGACUUUUCUCGUUCCGCCAGAACAUCCUUCAUACCAGCCAUUGCAACCAUCACUGCAUCCAGUUCCCCAGCGAACUGCACCUUUUCCGCCCUCAGAGUCUCGUACGCUGCUCCCAUCUCGCAAGUUUUCUGCAAGUCAGCGCCAACAGAAGAUCAGAAAAAUUCAACAAAGACAACAAUAAAAAUCCUAAGUUCUUCAGACCCCUGCCAACGCAAGCAGUCGACAGCGGUCUCGGGGACUACACCCAGUGGGUUCACUAAGAGUGGCCCCAUUGGCAUGAACCUCAAACAGGUCCGCCCUAUUGAGGUACAUGACAAAAAAAACAAGCCUAUGAGGUUCCUUCUACCCGACCUGAGUACAAUUACUCUCGGGGACUCAUCCAGUAGGUGCACUCGGAGUGCCCCCACUGCUAACAUUCGAGCAGAAUAGUUUUUAAUCUCAUCAAGUUAAAUAAAAAGUAUAAAGACAACUGCCGGUGCAAGCACUCGACAGAAGUCUCGGGGACUACACCCACUGGGUUCACUAAGAGUGAACCCACUGCAAAAAAUCAUACAAUAUCCGAGUGCAUUGCUCAAACACCCACUGGGUUACAAGAGGAAAGUAAAUACUUACUACCCACUUACUCGGAUAUCGUCCCGCAGUUCCAAGCUUCACUUGUACAAGGACGCGAUGGAGUCGUACGCUUUCUUGGCUUCUCCCGCCAUCAGCUCCGCCUGCACCAUGGCUCCCUUGGCAGCUCCCACCUGAUCUUCCGGGAGGCGCUGGACGUUGUACUCGACGGUCGACAGGCCUGGCAUCGUAGGAGGCUCCUUGGGCAUCCCAAGGCCUGCUCCAGUCGGUUCAGCAGCAACCAGCGCCGUCUCAGUCGACGACAUCACCUCAAUCGGCGGCGCGUCCAUGGCGAGAGUAGUAACCGGCGGAACAGCCUCAAGGACGGGCACCGCAACUUGCUCAGACCUCCCUUGGUCGCCCUCUUCCACAUAAAUCACCCCUGAGGGAAACCCGAAUGAACGGCGUGAGAUCACAGAAAAAAAAGGCAAGACCAAUGACAUAAUUCGUGAUGGAAUAAUGUAAACUCUCGGAAUCGCUACGAUGCACCUGGCUGGGAUGUGACAACGUUGUCCAUGUCCAUGGGAUCAUCCCCCUGGCGUGCCGGAGAGGUGGCAGAGGUGGCAACUCUGUCGAGUGAAAUUCAUUCGACCAAUAAGCAGGAGUUCAAUCGAAUACCAGAAGAAGUUAGAAGAACAAUGCACUUACGUUGAGGUGACGGGAACGGUGACCCUCAUCCGCGGCAAAGCCUUCCGAGGUUUAGAUCCACUCGGUUUGGCCACCUUAGAGGGUUGACCCGCAGGCUCAGCAGCAGCGUCCCUGGUCCUCUUGGUGCUCCGAGCACUCGGAAUGACGGGAACAGUUGGCGGGGCGCUCGGAACCACAAGAGCGGCUGGCGGGGCACUCGAGGAUGCUGGAGGGGCCGAAGGAGCCGCGGAUUCAUGUCGGCGUUUGGUUCGAAGCUCUGGCGGCGGGGGUGGCGAGUUCUGCUCUUCAUCUUCCUCAGACUCCUCCUCCGUCUCCCCACUGUCGGAGACGUACUCGACGCUCUCCACGCUGCCCUCCUGGCUGCCCUCCUCCUCCUACUCGACCGGAUUCCCGUUCGAGAUAGGAGAGAACCAGUUGGUCCACUUCUGCACAAGAUACAGUCGACGACAUCAGACGUCAGACAGUGAUUCAAGAAAGCGAUAAAUCUUAGACAGUGGUGUGCACUCGACAAGUUGUACUCACCUCGUUCGGAGGAGGGUUGUCCGCGCGGAAAGCCUUUACUCGCCGGGACCCUCUGGGGUUUUCGCAGGCGCCUGUGAUGUUGAGCACCCACAACGCCACCGUCUCCCCGGUCACGCAUUCGACGUUGAUCCGAGUGGAGUCCUCAGGCCCCGUGUAGUGUCACAUGGCAUGGUGUCAAACCUGCAGUGGCUGGAUGCGCCGGCCGAGGAAAACCUCCAGCAAAUUUAUGUCGGUGACUCCCCUUCGGACAACAUCCACGAGUGCGUCGACCAGAGGAUGGAUAUGGAUCUUCUCCGCCUUCGUGAGCGCGAGCUGCUUAGGCGGAGCUGGUCGAUCUAAGCUAAAAGGAGGCAACCCUGUCGUGGCAUUCGGGCAAGCAACGUCCUGGCAGUAGAACCAUGUGGACUGCCAGUUCCUAACCGAUUCACUCAGCUGAAGAGCGGGAUAACUACUUUUGCUCUUCUCUUGGAAGCCUAAGCCUCAGCAGAGCUGGAGAAGGUGAGUUUUAUCAUCCGACUGGUUAAGUCGUUUGAUGGUUUGGGAUCUAGCAGAGAAGAUGUGUUUGAAAAGCCCCCAAUGGGGAGGACAGCCGAUGAAACACUCGCACAAGACUACGAAGGCAGAGAGAUGAGCUAUGGCAUUCGGUGGAAAGUGGUGGAGCUGCGCCCCGAAGUGGUUCAUUAUGCCUUUGAAGAAGGGAUGUGGGGGCAGAGAGAAACCUCGGUGCACGUGGCUGAGCAGCAGGACGCGCUCCCCCUCCCGGGGCGCCGGCUUGGUCUCGUCCUCCGUCUGCAACCUCCACGACUUGUGCGCAAUCAUCCUGUGCUCCACCAACUCCAGCAGGUUCUCCUCCGUCACCGUGGAGGGGAGGAAGUCCCCCUGGAUCCACCCCGUCGGUAACGUUCGCUGCCUCCGCUGAGCAGGAGCCGCCGCCUUCCCCUUCUUCUUCCGCGCCUCUAGCUUGCUAGUCUGUCCCUUUGUCAUGGCGGAGGCUGCGGAUUCGUAAGGGAGAAGGAGAGGGAAGGAGCUUGGGGCGUGCAGAGGUUGGCGAGGGAAGCGGAGCAAAGGCAAGUUAUCCGGCGAGUGUAACGAAAAAACCCUCGCCGCUGAGGUUUAAAUAAGGUUCCGACUGGGCCACUGGCAAGUGGCCCCGAAAUCUUAUCCCCCGACCGGUCGCGGCGAUAUCAGUGGAGAAGAUGAAGGCGCGGGAAUCGAGGCAUCAGGUACUACUCGAGCGCGAUGUCGUCAUCCUCGCUGAGCGCGCGGCAACCGAAAUUUGAGGAUCCCAGAAAAUCUGUCGCUGUCAGUUGACUGGUCACGUCAGAAUAUACCAUGGAAGCACUCGGUUCCCGACAGUUCGUUUCACAAAUACUUUCACUCGAAUCGUUGGUCAAAGAAGAUAAAAUGGAUCGAGGCAAGCAACGCCAAAGUCGCAUCCGUACCAGUCGGAUCCAUACUUCAAGCAUCGCUUCGUCGUUCCAACCCCAAUCCAUUCACGGACUAAUGAUGGGUUAUAGUCCUAGGGUAGGGUCAUAGGUCUGCCCUGUAAGUCCUACCCAAGGACUACCCUUCAUAAGAGAUAAUACCCUUAGUCAGUUCCGACUGAAUUAAGGACAUCCCAUCAUCUAGUCGGUAACGAAUCCUCCACCAUCCAGUCGGAGAUGAGCAUUCGGAGUAUAUCAAACUAACCGACUGGAUUCCACUCGGUGCAUUGUAACCCCCCUAGAGGGAAACGGUCGUACGUUUCCACGUACCUUUAUUAGCAUUUAAGACGUACAUUACCUGUAACGUAGGCAUUUAUUCGCCACUACUCCACCCCUGUGCAUCGAACCGUUGUGGAGGGCAGCGCACUCUACAUAAGCUGCCCUCCCCCACUGGUGCAGGGGUGAGCAAUUCACUGUAAUCCGUAUUCCACUCGACAACAAGCUCCCAGAGCGCUGAGACCUAGGGCUAUUACCUCCAUCGUAGAGGGGCCCGAACUCAUACAACCUCGCCGUAGCUAAGGCUCUGUCCAUCCUUUCGUACCCUACACAUCUACUGUCAGACUUAUACCCACGACACCUCCUGAGUCCCUUCGCCCUCUUUGACAAAGAUGUCCUUGCGGGUGGGGGAUCGGUUGUUCCAGUUCUUCCUUUUUCUUUUAGACUUGGAUGUAAGUCCAAGCCCCUAUUUUCCUACCACACCCUUUUGAUUGCUUAAAAGGUCGUUCAGGCUCUUCUUACCUUGGAUGCAUGACACAAGGCCCUUCUCAAGUUUAUCCUUCAACUUGGCAUUUUCCUCCACAAGAUGAACAUGCUCACAACAAGGGUUAGUUGUACAAGCAUUAUCAAUUAAAACAAAAGGAGGACAAGUAGAGAUUUCCUUGGUAAGCUUUGCUUGGAGUUGAUCAUGAGACUCUUUCAGGGAGAAAUGACUACCUUUCAAGACCUUGUGAGCCUUGUCAAGUGUGUCAAACUCCAUUUUGAGUCUGUCAUGGUCAACCCCCACAACAUCCUUUUCAGACUUAAGCAUACGAGUAAGAACAGUAGCAUGAUCUAGUUUCUUUUGCCAUUUAGCGCAGUCAUCGUUGUAUGAGUCCUGAGGAGCCAAACGAAGAGUGCACUCCUUUUCUAGUGCAAUAGAAAGUUCAGCAAUCUCAUCGACAUAGUUACGACUAUGACCUUGCAUCUCGAAGAUGGUCUCCUCAUGAGACUCGAUGAGGUCAUUAGCCUCACCCAGUUGUUCCAAAAGGGCAACAAAGUGCCUCUUGGUUUCUCCUUUGAUAGUAUACAGAAAUUUGUCAAGAUCAUGCUCAUUAAGUUCCACAACAUCACUAUCAUCAACACAAUUCAACAAUGAGGGAUCACUAGUGAUGUUGGUCUUAAUGGUGGGUGUUACCUGAUUGAUACCUUUGGCCAUGAGGCACUUGGCGAUGUGAUUAUCGUUGGGGGUGUUGAAGAGAGACACAUUCUUGGGAGAAGGGGUGGCGAUAGCUACACUCGCAGUUGCCACCAUAUCAUCAUCAUCAUCAUCAUCAUCGGAGGGGUACUCUUCAAGCGCCACCAUACCCUUUGGAUGGGGUUUCUUAACAAAGUUGUUCUUGCUUGGGAAUGACUUUGUUUUGUCUUUGCGAAUGAGCUUGCCUCCGUUGUCUUCCCUUUUCUCAUAGGGACAUUCCACCGCGAAGUGGCCCACAUUACCGCAGUUAUAGCAUGUCCUUACUUGUUGCUUGGGUUUGAACCCACUUGAGUUGUUCUUGGUGAAGUUGGGUCUUGAGUUCCUCUUGUUGCCCCAGAAUUGCCUUGACGCAAGAGCCAUGUGCUCGUGAUAAGCAUACUUAGUGUCUUCAGGGCAGCUCUCCUCUUCCUCAUCCUCCUCUUCUUGUUCAGAAGCAACAUUUGCCUUCAAAGCAAGGUUAGGUGAAGCUGUCUUUGACCAAACUUGAGCAAGUGCAUUGUCAGCGGUCUCGUUCAUGAUUGACACUGCAAUGAAUUCAUCCAACACCUCACUGGUAGACAAGGAGUGGAAAUCUGGUCGUUGGCGAAUGACUGAUGACAUGGCUUUGUUGAAAGGCAAGAUGGCCUUGAGAAACUUGCGCUUGAUCCAUGUGUCAUCCACAUCCUUGCUCCCAUGAUCCUUGAGAGCAACAUCAAUAGCAGUCACCCUCCGAUAGAGAUCACGAGGGUCCUCAUCUUCAUUCAUUACAAACUCAUCAGCCUUAUCAAGUACCACUUCAUAGUUUGACCAUUGAAUGCUUGAGCUUACCUUGUAUAGCACCAUAAUGUGCUCCCAACAGUCCUUAGCUAGAGUAAAGGGGCGCAAGUGAGGAAGAUCUUCAGACGGUACUGCUGAUUGUAGAAUAAACAAUGCGGAGUGAUUAUAUUGAUUGUCUGCUUCUUCUCUUGGAGUGAGGUUGCUUGGGUCAUGAGGAUAGUAGCCUUGCUCGAUGAUUCUCCAUAAAUUUGUUGAGCGGUGAUUCAAAUGAGACUUAAUAGAAAACACCCAGUUAGCAAAAUCACCCUUAACAAGCUUAGGAGGAGGACCAACAGGGUUAAGACGUUGUGUGGGAACAGGUCCUCCAUAGACCAUGGGAGGUGGAACUGAGGCAUAGGUUCCAGUCCCAUCCUUUUCGAGAGAAGAGGAAGGUCGCAUACCUUUAGCCGCUUCCUUAGAGGAAUUGGCCUCCGAAUCGGUGUUGGUGGGUUUAACCACCAACGCCGGUUCGGGUGAACUUUUAAUUCCCUCAAUUAACUCUUUAAGCAUGGUCUUGACUUCGUUCGUCAAGGACGUCUUGAGGGCGGCCAUAGCCGUAGUAAAGUCGUCCCUUGUGACCGAAGUCAAGUCCAUGGCCUCGGGUUGCCCAUGGGGAACUCCCUCUUCGCCUUCCAUACUCUUCGGGUGGUGAAACCUUUAAUAAAGAGACGUGGCUCUGAUACCAAUUGAAAGGAUCGAUAUGGUUGACUAGAGGGGGGCAGCAUUUCCGAAUAUUCUCCUCUAGGCACAAGAUGACUCGACGCCCCUCGGAGGAUCUCCAAGCUCUUCCACCAAGUAAUCCAACUAGCAUCAACUACAAAGAGUAAUGCAAUCAUAAAGGUUCACUAAUAUGACACUAGGUGGACAACCUAUAUGAUGCUACUUAGCAACGAGUAAAGAAGCACGUAAGAGAUACUCUACAACACCAACAAAUACAAAGUAAAGGUAAGAGAUAACCACAAGUGGAACCGAUGAAGGCGAGGAUGUGUUACCGAAGUUCCUUCCCUUUGACAGGAAGUACGUCCCCGUUGGAGCGGUGUGGAGGCACAAUGCUCCCCAAUAACCCACUAGGGCCACCGUAUUCUCCUCACGCCCUCGCACAAUGCAAGGUGCCGCUAUUCCACUAUAGGUGCCCUUGAAUGCGGCGACCGAACCUUUACAAACAAGGUUGGGGCAAUCUCCACACAAAGCUUGGAGGCUCCCAACAAGAUCACAGAGCUUCACCACAAUGGAAUGUGGCUCCGAGGUGACCUCAACCGUCUAGGGUGCUCAAACACCCAAGAGUAACAAGAUCCGCAAGGGAUUAGCAUGGGGAAUCAAAUAUCCUUUGGUGGAAGUGUAGAUCAAGGCCUUUUCAAGCAAUCCCUAGAAAAUCAACAAGGUUGAUUGGCUAGGGAGAGAGAUCGGGCUAAAAUGAGCUUGUGGAGCAACAAUGGAGCUUAGAGGGGUUAAAGGUGAGCUCUAUGAAGAAGAAGAUGCCUUUAUAUAGUAGGGGGCAGAUCCACCUGUUACCCACCUACCACAUAAAUGCACAAGUGGUACUACCGCUCCUGGAGCGGUACUACCGCUACCCAGAGCGGUACUACCGCUCAGCUUCUCACCAACCACGGUAGUACCGGGAUACUACCGUGCCACCACCUCCGUGGAAAAGUAUGCGAGAAAAAAACCCGUCGGUGCGGUGGUAAAUUAAUACUACCGCACUGAGGGCGGUAGUACUGCCCUUGGAGCGGUAGUAAAAAACUACUACCGUACUUCGGGCGGUAGUACCGCUCGUGGAGCGGUAGUAAAAGUUUACUACCGCACCUGGGACGGUAGUACCGCUCCUGGAGUGGUAGUAAAAAUUUACUACCGCUCUGAGAGGGUACUACGCUGUGCCAGCGGUACUACCGCUUAUCCUUUUUUGCAUAGGCAUAGAAAACACAUUUGUGCUCAAUUGAAGACAAAAUAUGGGUGGGUGCAUGAGGUGGGUGCGUGAGGAUUCCACCCAAACCUUUCCGACGCGGACCCCCUCUUAAUAAGAAGAUUUUCCUAUGACUCAAACUAGGAAGAGAAAUGUAGAAGAAAAUCCGUCUUCGAGAACCUCCGAGAGGCGUCGAGUCAUCUUGUGCCUAGAAUAGAAUAUUCUGAAAUGCUCAGGACACAAGAUUAGUCCGCACAACAAUUGUCAUCAAUCACUAAAACCACUUAGAAGAAAUAUGCCCUAACAAGGUCUUUUACAACUAAAUACGUUUACAAUUAGCUAGAAAAGGAUAUUAUUAGUUUUUUUAACAAGUGGAUUUGGAAAGCCCCUAUUCCUUUUAAAAAAUAAGAUUUUUAUGUGGCUAACUUUUAGAGAUGCAAUUAUUACGAGCGAUCAGUUGAGAAAGCGAUAAUGCUUGGGAAUUCGAGUUGUUACUUUUGUUCUGAACAUGAAAAUAUCAACAACUUAUUCUUUGAUUGUCACAUGGCUAAGGUUGUGCGGGGGACAAUUGGUAAGGCUAUUCAGACCAAAUGCAAUCCUGGUCUACUCAAGGUAAACGACAAGGAGCUCCUUGAGAGCAGCAUGCACGUGUUGAUGAAGGAAAUUAAUCGAAUCGCUUCGCUUUUGGUUCCAGUUGGUGAUGUUGGAGUUGCUUCCUAAGAUCUGUUGGGUGAGUUGGAUUCAAUAGUGUUGUUAUGUUAGAGUUUGAUGGACGAGGGUGUUUUUUUAGUGUGGAUCUAGUUUCCUUCUCUGGUUGUUUUCAUGUUAUGCUUUCUAUACUUGAUCGCUACUGUGUGGAUGGUUUGGUAAUCCUGGAGUUUAUGGUGGUAGCAGGUUUUCACCAAGUAGCUGGAGUUUCGAUGUGAGCUCCAUGCAGCAGGUUCUCUGCUAGUGCACCACCUCGCUUCUUCCUUUCUCUCUUCCUUUUGGGUCAUCAUUUGGUUGAUGUAAGAACAUACUAUGUAUUUUAGUUAGGAAAUUAAUGGAAAGGGGAUGGCCGAGUUGAGAAAAGGGAUGUUAAGAGGAUUUUCAAGAUUUUUUUCUAAUGAUUUUUUUCCUAUGAAAGUCAAUUGGGUUGUUGGAUUUGGGCAAUUAAAUUCAAAUGAAAUCCAUUCUUAUGAACACUAUUAUUCCAUAGAAAUCUCAACAUGACAUCAAAGAAAUUACACGCGUUCAUUUUUUUACAUGAAGAUCAAAACUACAUUAGUUGGACUAAAAGAUUUUGAAAAUUCGUAUGAGCCAGCAACCUCAAUAGGUCACCUAAAGAUCGUUAAACACGCUCUUACCUCGGGUGUCACACUUUACAAGACAAGCCAUAGAACUGCUACUUUUCUUAAUGUAAGAGAACAAGUCCAAGAGAGAAAUAAAAAAGACAGAGACUAAAUGGACUCAACUAGCCCAUGAGAUCUCCAUAUUCAUCAUGUUUUCACCACUUAGUCGAGCAGAAGAACGAGAUGGUAAUUUGUCAUAUGAUAAGUUGUCAUACCACGAAGGCAGAACGCCUCCUAGUUUCUGGUUGUGUCAACUAUGAUGAACAAACAAGGAUGAAAAAAACAAAGUUCUAGGACUUGGAGGACCCCGUUGAACCAUUGCCUGCCAUCGAUAACCUUGCUCCAUGGCCCCAUCCACGUGCCCGACUUCGAACCACCAAAACCUUCUUCACAUGCUGACCUUGUUGCCUUCCAAGGAGCCAUUGAGUGUCAACCCCCGCUCGCUAGAUUCGAAGAUGAUCGAGCAAUCUAGUCGCCCAAACUACUGAUGAUUGGAGCAUCACCAGGUGGGGGGAUAAUAGGAGGCGCGUUAUUUCGACCCGACAUUUUCCCCACGAUAGAUGUGACAACUUAUUUCGAUCCGACAUUGUCCCCACCAUAGAUAUGAUGCCUCAAAUUAAACAUGAAGCCAACAAUAGCUACUCACCAAAAUUGAAGCGCAUGUGUCUUAUCCCUGCCCUUCACGGUAGCUAGAGGAGGUAGGAACCCACAUGCUUAUCUAUGGAGGAAGGGGAUAAUCAGUCACCACCCAAAUUGCCUCUUGGACACAGGGGUAUAGAAAAUGAACAAUAUUCCAAGAAAACAAAAAAUCUUGAAAAUUGGAGGAAGAUAUCGGCGUAAUUUUUUUUGGAACACAUAUCAGCCUAACUAGUGAGAAGGAAAUCAGAAUUUUGCCCGAUGGUCCGGAGCCUCCAUUUUCGGCCGAGUGAUGCAUGUUGUCGGCUAAGCCCACUUUAGGACAACUCCAACCGGGCGACCCAUUUUACGUGCACGUGUCCGUUUGGGUCACCGCGGACACAAAACAUGGCCCAAUGCGGCAACCCAAACGAACACACAUCUAAUUUUUGUUCGCCCGCGACCCAUUCCAACCAUAAAUUUAGUCCGCAUUUGUGUCAGCGUGGACACGGGACGGACGCCCGCCCUUCUCUUCCUCCUGGCCCGCCAGUCGAUGGCACGUAGGACAGUAUCCUCUUCCUCUCUUCACCUACGACUCACCCAUCCGCCCCACCUCCCACCGCUGCUGCCCACUUCUGCCAAUAUUGCCAGCCAUCAGUCCAUAGAUAGGUCACCCUCCCGACUGCCUCAUCUCUCGUCGUUGCCUAGCUCUGCUAUCUUGUCUCGAUGGGGUGUGAGGCUCUUCACCGACCGGCUUCUUCCAUGACACCCGCAUGUUGUUCGGUGGUUUUCCCGCAAGGUACAAAUGGACUUCGACGAUGAUUUUUUUCUAAAACAUUCUUUGUGAUCAGAUGAUUCUUCAUCGAUGAUGAGGAGAUCGUGGCAGAUGCGUUGGUCGUCAAUGACCACCUAAGUAUGGAGGGACUGCCGUUUAGGGGCAUGAUACCGGGGCACACGCCGACACUGAAUCGCGACCGGGAGAGUGGCAAUUUCCUACUCUGGAAGGACUACUUCGAGCAGCAAACCCUCUCUUCAAACAUCACAUGUUCCAAUGUCGUUUUUGUAUGGCUAGGCAUGUGUUCAACCGUAUUCGGGAGCGGGUGGUGGAGUACGAUAAUUAUUUCAAGUGCAAGAUGGAAGCCCUUGGAAAGAUUUGCUUCUCCUCUUAUCAGAAAUGCAGUGCUCCCAUUCAGAUGCUUGCAUAUGGAGUUCUCGAUGAUCUCAUUGAUGAGUAUGUUUGGAUGAGUGAGUCCACAUGCCUUGAGUCCAUGUAUAGGUUUUGCAAGGUUGUCAUAGUUGUGUUUAGGUCGGAGUACUUGAGAGAGCCAACGGUUGCUGAUACAACACGGCUUGAUGGCGAUGAAUUCCAACAUGGGGUUCCCGGAGAUGACUGGUAGCAUAGAUUUUAUGCACUUGAGUGGAAAAAAAUUAUGCACUUGAGUGAAAAAACUUCCCUUCUCCUUGGCACGGGCAAUAUAAGGGUCAUGUCAAAACGGAGCGGAAACGGACGGAACUGAGUGCUAUCACAUUUGUUUUCAUAUUGUUUUGUAGAAUUGGAAGUGAAUACGGAAACUCCGGAAAUAAAUACGGAAACAGAUACUACCGGAAAUAGACAUGGAGCGAAUACAGAGCGGAUACAGAAACAGAAGAAGACGUUGACCAAAACUUUUAAACCCCUUGAAUAAUAGAGUAAUACACACAACAACAAAAGUAAUGAAUUCCUAACAUGGCUACAAAAUAAUUUGAUUAUAUUAGCAACAUAUCCUAGUAUUGUAUUAGUACAUGACAAUUGUGUAUAGGCUCUAGUUGAGCACGUAUAUGGUAGUAUAAGUUGGGCCUCAAAUAAUUCAUUAUGCUUAUUGUGUCAUUAUGUGUUAUUUGGUGGUUGAGCUAGAAAGAAGCCCUAGGCCUAGAGUAAAAAUGGGAAAUUCCAUAUUCACGGAAACGGACAGUUCCAUUUCCACGUACGUUCCACCGGAAAACACUCUUCCGUUUUUGUUUCCGUUUUCACAUUAAAAUUUUCAUUUCCGUUUCCGUUUUGCAAAUUUCCAUUUCCGCUACCAUAUUUCCUCUCGGUUUUCAUUUUUCCUCCGGAAAAGCAGAAAGUUUUCAUUCCAUUUUCAUCCCUAUGUCCGAGCUUGCACUGUCAUACUUGAGGCCAUUGCUUCCAAAGAUCUCUGGAUUGGCACUCUUUCUUUGACAUGGCCGGAUCUCACAGCGAUAUCAAUAUUCUCUAGCUCUCUCCUGUGUUUUGUAGGAUGGCAGAAGGAAAUUACCCGGAGGUCAAUGUUGAGAUCAAUGGCCACCAAUACACCAAUGGAUACUAUCUAUUAGAAGGUAUCUAUCCAAUGUGGACUAUUCUUGCCAAGACAAUCCCCAACCCUUUAGGAGAGAAGAGAAAGAGAUUUGCCCAAGAGCAAGAGAGUGCUAAAAAGGAUGUAGAGCGUGCCUUUGGUGUUCUUCAAUCUCGAUGGAGCAUCGUUCGGUAUCCUGUUAGAACUUGAAGCACCAAAAAUGUUGUGAGAGCAUCACUACAAUUGGACGCACCACCCUUGUCAAAUCAAUUCUUUUGUCACAAGUGCUAUAUUACAUUACGCCUCGAAGCACUCUCCAUAGAACGUACAAACUUCAGAGAGCCUUCCUUUGGUCAGGUUCGUACAACACAACGGUAGUGAAAUAGAAAGUGAACUGGGACAUGGUAUGCAGGCCAUAUGAAUGAGGAGGCCUUGGAGUUCUCAACACAGACAAGUUUACAUGAGGUUUGCGUCUUCGAUGUCCUUUGUUUAUAUGGAAAGAGCCUUCCAAUUUGUGGGCGGGUAUGGGAAACCCAUGUGAUGAGCAUGAUCUUGACUUCUUCUAUGCAUCUACCACCAUCAUAGUUGGGGACGGAACAAGAACCCCCUUUUGAGAGGCUCCUUGGAUUAAUGACAGGGAGCCAAAGGAGAUAGCUCCUCUCAUUUUUGAGGCUUCAUCUUGCAAAAAAUGGAAGGUUAGAGAGGUGCUGAAGAAGAAUGCUUGGGUGGACAAGGUCAAACUUUUUGCGAACUUCACUAUGAAGCAUCUACGUCAAUUUGUGGCCCUCUGGGUGUCCAUCCAAGGCCACCUUGACGACCAUGUUUAAGAUGACAUUGUAUGGAAACACACAGUCAGCAGACACUAGUCCACGACCUCUGUCUAUGGGGCCCAAUUCUUCGGCACGGUUUACUUGCCCAUGGAGCACAUGAUAUGGAAAGCUUGGGCCACUCCCAAGGUCAAAUUCUUUUCUUGGUUGGCUAUUCAAGACCGAAUUUGGACCGUCGAUAGACUCGCCAAACGGGGAUGGCCUAACUGUAAUUUGUGCCCGCUAUGCAAGCAAGUUCGGAAAUUCAGGUGACACCUCUUCUUGAAAUGUCGGUUCAUGCUCAGUAUCUGGAAAUAAAUUGAUAAAUGACUGGCUUCUUUUGAUCGACUUUGAUACUUCGGAUCGACACCUCGAGGACUCCGUUAGCAAAUAGUGGUCCAAGAGAUCCGACGAUGGCACGCCCAACAGGAAGGCCCUGACAUCCUUGACAAUGCUUAUGGGAUGGAUCUUUUGGAAGGAGGGGAAUGCCCUAACCUUUGAGCACAAAACAUCCACCUUGUUCAACUAUAUUCGGUAUGAGAUCAAACUGUGGAUUUCGGCAGGAGCGAAGAAACCUUGAACUAUUGUAACGGGAGAGUGAGGCCUUAGUACUGCCGGUCCUGUAACAUAAAUUAUAUUCUCUUGUUAAUUAAUAUAUGAGGCAAUUUUUUUGCCUUGGUUUCAAAAAAAUUAUGGAAGGUAAUGACAGAUUAUGUGAUCAUGCACAACAUGACGUAGAGGAUGAGAGCCCAUGACGUCUUUAUGAUCAAGGGUUUCAGCGUCAGAGUGACAAUGUUUUCAACGUUUACACAGUUCAUCGAGUUUCAUCAUGAGAUACGUUAUUCGAAAACUCACAUGCUGCCGCAAAAUGAUUUAGUUGAGCCUUUAUGAAUUCAUGUUGACAACCAAUAAAUAUAUCGACAACCUUUUUUUCAAUGUACUUGAGACAAUUUAAUGUUAAUUUAGUUUAUAAACAAUGAGAUAUUUAUGUGGUUCUUGAACUAUGCAACGUUUGUAUUUUUAUUAAACUUUGUUAAUGUCGGAUCAAAUUUUAUACAUCUAUACCUAAUAAUAAAGCGGCUAUUGCUUCCGUCGGAAAACCCACCACGACAUUUUUAUAAAAAAGCCCUUGUAAUUUUUGUUAUUCAACCCGCGCUCCAUCAUUUAUCUGCAACGCAAAAGGAAAAAACGAUUCGCUGCAAAAAUUAUACCCGUACGCAUCGCCUCCUCCCGUCGACCCUGGGCCACCCUAGCCUGUGCCAAGGCCGCCGCCACACCACUCGCUGUCGCGGCCGACCUCAACCGCCACGGCUGCCGAUCUCAACCCACCCGCCUCCGCGCUUGUACCUCUCCCCGCUCACUGCCCCCAUUGCGGUGCUCGAGCGCAUCGCAUCGACCCUGGUCCACCUUGGCCUGUGCCAAGGCCGCUGCCACACCACUCGCUGUUGCGGCCGACCUCAACCACCACUGCUGUCGAUCUCAACCCACCCGCCUCCGCGGUCGUACCUCUGCCCGCUUGCUGCCCCCGUUUCGGCGCUCGAGCACAGCUUCUGGAUAAAAUCAACGCGACAGCUACAACGACUUGGGAUGAUGCGUCUGCUCGAUACAGAACAGCGGCGACGCGCGGAUAAGGCGUGGUGGAGCGAAGUACUUGUAGGUGGAGGCGGGCCUCCAUGGCUCACACGGGGAACUCCGAGGUUAUGGCGCGGAAACGGCGACUCCUUAUGGCCAGAUAGAGGCGCCAAACCCAUGCUCUCCUCAUUGUAUCCCCUCCUCCGGCAGGAACUCAUCAUCUGGUGAGAUCCCCUCCCCAUGCCUCCAACCGUGUGCCAAGCACCGGCAAGAAAUUUUGUUUUGUGGGAAUUUGUUUGCUGAUGAAUGAAUGUAUUGAAUGUAAGAUUGCAUUGUUGUAGGUGUUGGGUAACGUAGCAUAAAUUCAAAAUUUUCCUACGCAUAUUCAGAUCUUCCUAUGGAGAGACCAGCAACGAGAGAGGGGUAAGAGCAUCUUCAUACCUUUGAAGAUCGCUAAGCGGAAGCGUUACUAGAACACGGUUGAUGGAGUCGUACUCGCAGCGAUUCAGAUCGCGGUGUGAUUCCGAUCUAGUGCCGAACUAUGACACCUCCGCGUUCAACACACGUGCAGCCCGGUGACGUCUCCCGCACCUUGAUCCAGCAAGGAGGAGGGAGAGGUUGGGGAAGAACUCCAGCAGCACGACGGCGUGGUCUCGAUGGAGAGACGAGGUCUCCCAGCAGGGCUUCGCCAAGCACCGGCAGAGAGAAGGAGGAGGAAGGGUAGGGCUGCGCCGAGAGAGAGACAAAUCCGUGUGCCAAACAGCCCCGAAACCUCAACUAUAUAUAGGGGAGCGGGAGGGGGCGCAGCCCUUAGGGUUCCCACCCCCAAGGGGUGUGGUAGCCCCCAUCUGCGCCAGGAGGUGGCGGCCAGGAGGGGAGGAGGAGUGUGGCGCACCCGUGAUGGGCCUUAGGCCCACGUGGCUUAGGGUUUGCCCCCCCCCCUUUCCUCUCCCCUGUGCAUUGGGCUGAGUGGGGAGGCGCACCAGCCCACCUAGGGGCUGGUUCCCUCCCUCACUUGGCCCACCUUACCUCCCGGGGUCGUUGCCCCCCUUCGGUGGACCCCCGGGGCCACCUCCGGUGGUCCCGGUACGUUACCGGUGAUGCCCGAAACACUUCCGGUGUCCGAAACCAUCUGUCCUAUAUAUAAAUCUUUACCUCCAGACCAUUCCGGAGCUCCUCGUGACGUCCGGGAUCUCAUCCGGGACUCCGAACAACUUUCGGUAACCUCGUAUAACAAUUCCCUAUAACCCUAGCGUCAUCGAACCUUAAGUGUGUAGACCCUACGGGUUCGGGAGACAGGCAGACAUGACCGAGACACCUCUCCGGCCAAUAACUAUCAGCGGGGUCUGGAUACCCAUGGUGGCUCCCACUUGCUCCACGAUGAUCUCAUCGGAUGAACCACGAUGUCAAGGAUUCAAUCAAUCCCGUAUACGAUUCCCUUUGUCUGUCGGUAUAGAACUUGCCCGAGAUUCGAUCGUCGGUAUACCUAUAACUUGUUCAUUCUCAUUACUGGUAAGUCUCUUUACUCGUUCCGUAGCACGUCAUCGUGUGACUAACUCCUUAGUCACAUUGAGCUCAUGAUGAUGUUCUACCGAGUGGGCCCAGAGAUACCUCUCCGUCACACGGAGUGACAAAUCCCGAUCUCGAUUCGUACCAACCCAACAUACACUUUCAGAGAUACCCGUAGUGCACCUUUAUAGUCACCCAGUUACGUUGUGACGUUUGAUACACCCAAAGCACUCCUACGGUAUCCGGGAGUUGCACAAUCUCACGGUCGAAGGAAAAUAUACUUGACAUUAGAAAAGCUUUAGCAUACGAACAAUACGAUCUAGUGCUAUGCUUAGGAUUGGGUCUUGUCCAUCACAUCAUUCUCCCAAUGAUGUGAUCCCGUUAUCAAUGACAUCUAAUGCCCAUGAUCAGGAAACCAUGAUCAUCUAUUGACUAACGAGCUAGCCAACUAGAGGCUUGCUAGGGACACAUUGUGAUCUAUUUAUUCACACAUGUAUUACUGUUUCCUGUUAAUACAAUUAUAGCAUGAACAAUAGACGAUUAUCAUGAACAAGGAAAUAUGAUAAUAACCAUUUUAUUAUUGCCUCUAGGGCAUAUUUCCAACAGUCUCCCACUUGCACUAGAGUCACUAAUCUAGUUACAUUGUGAUGUAUCGAACACCCAUAGCAUUAUGGUGUUGAUCAUGUUUUGCUCGUGGAAGAGGUUUAGUCAACGGGUCUGCAAUAUUCAGAUCCGUGUGUACUUUACAAAUAUCUAUCACUCCACUCUGGACAUGGUCGUGGAUGGAGUUGUAGCGGCGUUUGAUGUGCUUCGUCUUCCGGUGAAACCUGGGCUCCUUGGCUAUGGCAAUGGCCCGAGUCUUAUCACGGAAGAGUGUCAUUGGACCCGACGCGCUUGGAACCACUCCAAGGUCGGUGAUGAGCUCCUUCAUCCAAAUUCCUUCAUGAGCUGCUUCUGAAGUAGCUAUGUACUCCGCUUCACAUGUAGAUGCUGCCACGACUUCUUGCUUACUGCUGCACCAGCUCACUGCCCCACCAUUCAACACAUAUACGUAUCCGGUCUGUGACUUAGAGUCAUCCGGAUCUGUGUCGAACCUAGCGUCGACGUAACCCUUUACGACGAGCUCUUCGUCACCUCCAUAAAUGAGAAACAUUUUCUUAGUCCUUUUCAGGUACUUAAGGAUAUUCUUGACCAUUGUCCAGUGUUCCAUACCGGGAUCACUUUGGUACCUCCCUACCAAACUUAUGGCAAGGUUUAUAUCAGGUCUGGUACACGGCAUGGCAUACAUUAGUGUCACGCCCAAGAUGCGACCCUAUCCUCAAUUUGGCACGAGGGCCUCGUCAGGGAUAGAAGCGCAUCUCGUCGUGUCGCAAGAAUGGAUAUCGUUACAAGUACAUGUACUGAAAAGGAGAGAUAUAUAAAGGGUUGGCUUACACCCGCCACAAGCUACAUCAGAGUCACAUCAGUACAUUACAUAAUCAUCAAGAGUAAGAGCAGGGUCCGUCUACGGACGAAAACAAACGACAAAAGAAGAACGACGUCCAUCCUUGCUAUCCCAGGCUGCCGGCCUGGAACCCAUCCUAGAUCGAUGAAGAAGAAGAAGAAGAAGAAGCAACUCCAAAUGAACAAUCAACGCGCUCGCGUCAAGUAAUCUUUACCUGUACCUGCAACUGGUGUUGUAGUAAUCUGUGAGCCACAGGGGACUCAGCAAUCUCAUUUCCAAAGGUAUCAAGACUAGCAAAGCUUAAUGGGUGAGGUAUGGUUAAGUGGUGAGGUUGCAACAAGGGCUAAGCAUAUAUUCGGUGGCUAACUUACGAGUACAAGAAGUAAGAGGGGGAAGAUCUACGCAUAGCGGACGUGAACUACUGAUGAUCAAAUGAAUGAUCCUGAACACCUACCUACGACAGACAUAACCCCACCGUGUCCUCGAUCGGAGAAGGAACUCAUGAAAGAGACAGUCACGGUUACGCACACAGUUGGCAUGUUUUAAUUAAGUUAACUUCAACUUAUCUAGAACCAGUGUUAAACAAAGUUUCCACGUUGCCACAUAACCGCGGGCACGGCUUUCCGAAAGAUUUAACCCUGUAGGGGUGCUCCAACUAGUCCAUCACAAAUUACCACAAGCCGCAUAGAAAUACUCAAUCACGAAGCUCGCGAUCUCGUCGGAUUCCCUAGUGGAAAACCUCAACUCUGAGAUUACCCAAAGCAUCACCGGAAUCCCGAUGCACAAGAUAUCUCGUCAAAGGUAAAACUAAUCCAGCAAGGCCGCCCGACGUGUCGACGAUCCCGAUAGGAGUCGCGUACCUCGUUCUCAGGACACGACGGAUGAGCGAUGGUUACCACGCCAAACGCCGAGUUGCCCCGGGUAGCGUUAAUAAGCUGCUCUGUUUUGGACCAACACUCAUGAGGAGCACUGGCCCGGGGGUUGAUUAAAUUAUCCUCGGGGUCCGGAAAGUCCCUAUGCAAUUUUAUUAGGUGAUUAGGCAAAUGUAGUACCAAAGUUGGGCAUUGCCAGACCAGCUUUAAUCUAAAACGAAUUAUCAAGGGGGUCCCCAUAACGACCCCGAUCGUGUUAGGAGCGCUCAUUUAUGGAACAUAACACCAGUAGCCGGUAACUAAAAGGGGCAAAGGUGGAACAAAACACCAGGCUAGAAAGGCCGAGCCUUCCACCUUUUACCAAGUAUAUAGGUGCAUUAAAAUAAAUAGCAUGAAUAUGGUGAUAUAACAAGGAACCCACGUUAGACAUGGGAGCAACUGCACCUGCAACUAGCAACGCUAUCAACAGGGUUAAGCAAGCAGUAACAUAGCCAAUCAGUGGUUUGCUAGGUUGAACAGGUUGAUGGUAAUCAUGGCAUUGUUGAGAGGCUGAUAUUUAACAGGUGGUAGGCAACGAGACAUAAAUGGUAGCAACGGUAAAACUAGCAUGGCAAUGAUAGUAAUGGUAUCUGGGGAAAUGAUCAUCUUGCCUGAGAUCCCGCUUGGAAGAAGAACGACUCCGUGAAGCAGACGAACCGACGUAGUCGAACGGUUCCUCACAAUCCGGCACGCGUGCGGAACUCUAUCGAGACGGGGAAACCAGAAACAAGCAUCAACACACGAUAUUCACCACACGAUGCACAACACAUAUGAUGCAUGAACUACUGAAUACAUGCAAGUCACGGCAUGACAAUUCACACAACCAAACACUACACAUUAAGUGAAGUUCAAUAUGCACGAGUUGCAUAUUGACGAAACUCCACGUUUAAUAUUUAGUUCUAUCCCGAUUAGUUACUCGGCCAUAUUAAAGUUUUCAAACAUGCAAGAGGUGGAGCGGAAAUUAAACUACCUAUCUAGGCAUUUUAAAUGAGGUCAGAAAUGUCCUAUAGCAUCUCCGAGACGACCUCACAUGUUAAUUUACAAUUCUGUCCAGAUCUGAAUUAAUGCAUUUAAUUGGCUGUUAAACAGAAAAACAAAUAGGUUCACGUGAUUCUACGCAUCCAGGCAAGCAAUCUACACAUAAAGAACAUCUCCAACGGAGCUACGGAACAAAAGACACAAGCACCACAAGAUAUGAUGGCAUGAAUGCAAAAUGUGUGCAACGGCGGCUACGAGCACUUCAACACAUGCAACUAGCAAGAUAAAAUGAAACUACACCAGAUUCUAAGCAAGUUUCAUGUAGGACACGAUCAAAACGGAGCUACGGUUUGAAAACUACAAGCAAAACAAGAGAACACUACAAUCUGCCAAAAACAGCCACAUAGCAUAUUCUACGCCCCACAACUACGGAUACACAACUCCGAUUAGCUCAAGCAAGGCAUGACACGGAAGAGGGCAAAAAGCACAACUACAAUCAACUAACAACAUCUAGCAUGGCAACACGGAUCACUAGAUAAAGAAGUCACAAAAUGACAUCACACACACUAUCUCAGACUUAGUGAAAAUAACACCUCAUGAAAGUGCAGUUUUCAGCCUGAAGCAAUAUUGACAGCAGAAAAACCUAUACCUACAGAAGCCCAAAUGGCAUGAAACUUAACAGCAUGCUAGAGAAACAUAAGGGGUACAACUAACUCCAUUGGACCAACCUCAAAAGGGCUACAGAUCACAAGAUGCAAGCAAGACAAGACAGCAACAAAAUAAUAACAGAUUCCAGACUUAGAAAUAUUUCAGCUCCUCUGAAACAGCACUAUUCAAGCAAUUUGAGGGCAGUCAAACAACACCUAAACAUGCAUUUCUAUUGCAACUAAAAAUACCCAAGGCUAUACAAAACAUCCAAGGUCAAAUCACUAGUUGACAACUAAUUCAAACGAGGCCCGGAAUAAAACCUACGGAUUAAACAAAAGGGCUUCACGACAAAAUAUCUCGCGAACUAACUUCCUCAAAAGCUAAAACUAAUUGCACAGAAAAAUCCAUGGGAUUUUUCUACCCCGGAAACAUAUAAAAUAAGUGGGGUUUGCAACUCAAAAUAAAGCCACACAUUAAAGCGGGAUAAAACCUCUAAACGGGAAAAUAAACUACCGGCAAAACCCUACACGGAAAAAUACGAGUGACCGCUCUAAAAUACGUAGAAAUAUGGUCCCUAAAACAUGGACAUUAAAUCUAUGGCAUACGGGCAGUCCAGACACACACGAGAGUUAACUGCGGAACAGAUCCUAGUUAAACAGCACGUAAAACGAGGCAUUAGGCACUCUAAACAGCGUUAAACAUAUAUGCAUGUUGGAUAAUCGUGUUCUACUCGCGAAGCUACCCCAAAACGAUAUAUAACACGCGUCGUUCCGACUUACGGUUUAAAAGUUAUGGGGGUUUAAGUAAUUAGCUAAAACCUGAAAUUAACUAAACCGAAAAGAAAAAGAAAAUCCUAAAUAUCUAAUGGGCCGAAUCUGGUGGCGCGACAUAGUUAAAACAUGCCGGGGGCGAGGGAUAAGCUCACCUCGGUGGGCCUCGGGGCCGGCCUGGCCGAGGCGAGGAAGUGGCUGCUUGGCGACCUGGGCCUCGGGGCGAGGCAGAGGGAGGCCCAAGCGCUGCCUGCUGCUGGGCCGGGGCGCUGGCCCAUGCGGCCAGGGGAGGCAGAGCCGGCCGGGCUCGAAGGGAGGCGGCCCAGGAGCGGUUCCACCGCAGUGCUCGUCCCACCUCGAGCAGAUCUCGACCGGGGACCGAGACGAGACGGCGGCUACGCUGGAGCUCACUGGCCGGCGCGCCGCUCAGGGAAGAAGACCGGGACAGCCGGCGACUGGCCAGAUCCGGAUCCUCCGGUGGGGGCGCCGCGGGAGCUGCCCGACUUGGAUCCGGCGGGGCAACGAAUCGACGAGGACGAGGCUCCCGGGAGGGGGACGGCCAUGGCGGCGGGGCUGGUCGGCAGCGACUGUUGUUGGCCGGUGGCGGGGCACGGCUCCGGGGCGAGGCGGGGCUCCAGCCCGGCGGCGAGCGGGAGGAAUCCGGCGGGGCUGACUCGGGCAGGAGGAGCUCGGGCUACGGGGAGAGAUCGGGGCGGCGGCGGCGGCGGCCGGAUGGGCCUGCCCGAGCCCGAUCUGGGCUCGGCGGGCCCGCGGUGGCUGGUGGGUGGAGGUGCUGCGGGGGGAGAGAGAGGGCGCGGCGGCUAGGGUUUCGGGCGCGGAAAACGAGGCAGGAUUAGGGGGAGGCUGUCUAAAUGUGAUGGUGGGUAUUUAUAGACAAAUGGGGGCUAGGUUUAACCGGAAUCGCGAUCCGGAUCCAACCGCGGGGUCGGAUUCGGACGAUUCCGAACGUGGGAACGGGUACGUGACCGUGUAGAGGGGUAUCCGGAGACGAGAGGGAGAACGGGCGACGCGGCACGAAUUUUAAAACAUCGACAGACGUCCGACGGUAGACCGAAUACGGUGCCGCUACGGUCGACCGUUCGGGUACCAGUCGGUCUCCGAUCGCGACGAAAUUCGACAGGCGGCCUAGCUACAUCUAAUCGCGACCGCGUGCCAAGUCUCACCUCGAUGAGAGAGAGUUUUAAACACACUUUAAAAACAGGGUUUCGACGGUGCCGCGGGUGCGUGCGUGUGCGGUCGGGCUCGGAACGGACAACGACGCAAACCUGCAACUAUCAACGCAUGCAAGUUGAAAACGGGCGGCAACAGAGACACCGAUGCAAUGCUGUGAUGCACAUGAUGCGAUGAUGAUGCGGCAACUGAAAAUACCCACACGACGAAAACGGAAAGAAAAGGGGAAGCUUCUGGAACGUCGGUCUCGGGCUGUUACAAUUAGAGAGCCCACGGUUGAAGCGUAGGGGACAGAACUCAUCUUCUCUCUAUCUGCUGCCGUGGUCGGCGACUGAGUCUUACUCAAUCUCAUACCUUGCAAAACUGGCAAGAACCCUUUCUUUGAGUUUUCCAUAUUGAACUUCUUCAAUAUCUUGUCAAGGUAUGUACUUUGCGAAAGACCUAUGAGACGUCUUGAUCUAUCUCUAUAGAUCUUGAUGCCUAAUAUGUAUGCAGCUUCUCCAAGGUCCUUCAUUGAAAAACUUUUGUUCAAAUAGGCCUUUAUGCUCUCCAACAUCUCUAUAUCAUCCCCCAUCAAUAAUAUGUCAUCCACAUACAGUAUGAGGAAAGCUACAGAGCUCCCACUCACUUUCUUGUACAGACAGGCUUCUCCGUAAACCUGUAUGAACCCAAACGCUUUAAUCACCUCAUUAAAGCGAAUGUUCCAACUCCGAGAUACUUGCACCAGCCCAUAGAUGGAGCGCUGGAGCUUGCACACUUUGUUAGCACCCUUAGGGUCGACAAAACCUUCUGGUUGCAUCAUAUACAACUCUUCCUUAAGGUUCCCGUUAAGGAACGCUGUUUUGACGUCCAUUUGCCAAAUUUCAUAAUCAUAAAAGGCGGCAAUUGCUAACAUGAUUCAGACUGAUUUCAGCUUCGCUACGGGAGAGAAAGUCUCUUCGUAGUGAACUCCUUGAAUUUGUCGAAAACCCUUUGCGAUAAGUCGAGCUUUCUAAACUGUUACAUUACCGUUUGCAUCAGUCUUCUUCUUGAAGAUCCAUUUAUUUUCUAUGGCUCGCCGGUCAUCGGGCAAGUCCACCAAAGUCCAUACUUUGUUCUCAUACAUGGAUCCUAUCUCAGAUUUCAUAGCCUCAAGCCAUUUGUUGGAAUCCGGGCCCGCCAUUGCUUCUUCAUAGUUUGAAGGUUCACCGUUGUCUAACAACAUGAUUUCCAUCACAGGGUUGUCGUACCACUCUGGUGCGGAGCGUGCCCUUGUGGACCUUCGCGGUUCAGUAGUAACUUGAUCCGAAGCUUCAUGAUCAUCAUCAUUAACUUCCUCUUCAGUUGGUGUAGGCGCCGCAGGAACAACUUCCCGCGCUGCGCUACUAUCCUGUUCGAGAGGGGGUGUAAUUACCUCAUCAAGUUCUACCUUCCUCCCAUUUACUUCUUUCGAGAGAAACUCUUUCUCUAGAAAGGAUCCAUUCUUGGCAACAAAGGUCUUACCUUCGGAUCUAAGAUAGAAGGUAUACCCAAUAGUUUCCUUAGGGUAUCCUAUGAAUACGCAUUUCUCCGCUUUGGGUUCGAGCUUUUCUAGUUGAAGUUUCUUCACAUAAGCAUCGCAGCCCCAAACUUUAAGAAACGACAACUCAGGUUUCUUGCCAAACCAUAGUUCAUACGGUGUCGUCUCAACGGAUUUAGACGGUGCCCUAUUUAAAGUGAAUGCUGCAGUUUCUAAUGUGUAUCCCCAAAAUGAUAGCGGUAAGUCGGUAAGAGACAUCAUAGAUCGUACCAUAUCUAAUAAAGUGCGAUUACGACGUUCAGACACUCCGUUGCGUUGCGGUGUGCCACGAGGCGUCAGUUGUGAAACGAUUUCACACUUCCUUAGGUGUGUGCCAAACUCGUGACUCAAAUAUUCUCCUCCACGAUCAGAUCGCAAACAUUUAAUUUUUCUGUCACGUUGAUUCUCAACCUCACUCUUAAAUUCCUUGAACUUUUCAAACGUCUCAAAUUUGUGCUUCAUUAAGUAGAUAUACUCAUACCUACUCAAAUCAUCGGUGAGAGUGAGAACAUAACGAUAGCCACCGCGAGCUUCAACGUUCAUUGGACCACACACAUCAGUAUGUAUUAUUUCCAAUAAGUCGGUUGCUCUCUCCAUUAUUCGUGAGAAUGGAGUCUUAGUCAUCUUGCCCAUGAGGCACUGUUCACAUGUGUCAAAUGAUUCAAAGUCAAGAGACUCUAAUAGUCCAUCAGUAUGGAGCUUGUUCAUGCGCUUAACGCCGAUAUGACCAAGGCGGCAGUGCCACAAGUAUGUGGGACUAUCAUUAUCAACUUUACAUCUUUUGGUACUCACACUAUGAAUAUGUGUAACAUCACGAUUGAGAUUCAUCAAGAAUAAACCAUUCACCAGCGGAGCAUGACCAUAAAACAUAUCACUCAUAUAAAUAGAACAACCAUUAUUCUCUGACUUAAAUGAGUAGCCGUCUCGCAUUAAGCAAGACCCUGAUACAAUGUUCAUGCUUAAAGCUGGUACUAAAUAACAAUUAUUAAGGUUUAGGACUAAUCCCGACGGUAGAUGUAGAGGUAGCACGCCGACGGCGAUCACAUCGACCUUUGAACCAUUCCCGACGCGCAUCGUCACCUCGUCCUUGGCCAGUCUCCGCUUAUUCCGCAGUUCCUGCUUUGAGUUGCAAAAUUGAGCUUUAGCAUAUGAACAAUACGAUCUAGUGCUAUGCUUAGGAUUGGGUCUUGUCCAUCACAUCAUUCUCCCAAUGAUGUGAUCCCGUUAUCAAUGACAUCUAAUGCCCAUGAUCAGGAAACCAUGAUCAUCUAUUGACUAACGAGCUAGCCAACUAGAGGCUUGCUAGGGACACAUUGUGAUCUAUUUAUUCACACAUGUAUUACUGUUUCCUGUUAAUACAAUUAUAAUAUAAACAAUAUACGAUUAUCAUGAACAAGGAAAUAUGAUAAUAACCAUUUUAUUAUUGACUCUAGGGCAUAUUUCCAACAGUAGAGAGAGAGAAUGGAACACCACCUUCAGUUUGUCAUCUGAUCCCAUAUUCUCUACCCCAUGAGUGAAAUAAGAUAACAGUCCAUUGAUCAAUUCACGUGGCCUCUUUGUUUUGCUUUGCUUGUUCCGUUCAAUUUCUUAUCAUGGUGGAAUUAACAAUGGACGAUUUGAUUUCUCAACAAAAUAGGAUAGGACUGACUACAUUAGUUAGUUAGCUUAUUAUUUUAAUAAAUCAAAAUGAUUAUAAAAAGAUUAAAAACGUGUGAUAUUUUUUUCUCCCGUUGCAACGCACGGGCCCUUAUGCUAGUAUGUAACAAAGCGAUCAAAAAAUCAUCGUAAGCCUGCGUACGGACGAGAAAUGAAUUGACAUAUUGGACGCACGAUCAAUCCAAAGGAAGAACAGAACAGUGUCAAUCCAAAAGAACAAAACAUGGGAAAGAAAAAAACGUGUCCGUUUGGAUCGCCGACCCCCGGUUAUAGUUGCUCUUACGGUCUGAUCCGGUCCGGUCCGGCCUACAAUUGCAUGAGUACGUACGUGGACUCACGACCGGCCGCAAGCUCAGAGAGUGAACACGUAGACAAAUCAGCUCACUGCAAACGGGAAAAUCACUGCAGUACAAAAGCUCGGUCACGAGGGGAUCACAUGCGUGCAAAUGCAAAGCAGGGCAGAGCGCGCGAUCUGCAGGAUCUAGCAGGCAGCCUAUCACACCGUCUCCCCGCGGCUGCACUGACACCUGAGAAUACUAUACGUCGAAAACACCACUGGCUGCGCUGUCCGUCCGCGCCAUGGAUUCCGACCUCUGAACAUGUCCUGCGAUCGUACUAAAUUUGGCCAAACAAACUGGCCGAAUCCCAUCAUCCAAACAAGAUAUAAAUUUUUUCAAUGAUAAAGCAGUCAUCAAAGGAGGAUUGAUCCAGCUUCCAGCUUAACUAAUAACCAUAUCAUAAUGGAAAACAAUCGGGUAACAGAGUAGGCGCUGCUCGAUCCGAUCGACAAGAUCAAAACCAAGCUCUUAUUCCGAUUCCAUGUGAGGGAGGAAAUCCCAUACCUCUCGGCCGGAGCACCGAGAUCUUGCGAACCAUGUGGCUCCACGUGAGCUCCUUUGUCUUUGUGGAGAGCGCCAAGCGUGUGCCUCACUGCUCCCGUUAUCCGUGGACACAAAAGUUGGCUCGUGUUUGCUUGAUCCGACACAGAGACAAAAACAGCGCCAGCCUUUUCGUGGUUAACGGCAUAAAGCGCCACGAAAGAGGUGUGGGAUGGAAUAUAAAGGUGAUGCAGAUAUAUGCCGCUGGGGUGGGUCUGCCUGUUGGGAACGGCCGGGUAUGCGGUAGUGACGACCACUCCUGUGCAAUCUGGAUGAACACGAGAAUAUAUUGUCUACACAUAUAUAGAUUUAUAGGAGUUUUACUGGGCAGAUAAAUUCUAAUGAAAGAUUAAGAGGGAUGAGGAUCUCAUCCUUUAAAAAUCAGGGGAAAAGGUUAGUUAGAAAGAAAAAAUUAUAGUCAACGUAUAACCCUUUAUAAGUCUUUAUGAGCGAUUCCUCGCUUAUAACAUGUAAAUGACAAGUCAUUGAAAAUUAGCCAUCAUAGUAUGAAAGCGGGUUAGACGAACGUGAAAGUAGAGUUUAUUUAAACGACGGAACUUAUAGCGAUCUACCGUGAUGCCAAACGCAGGCCAGGCCGACUAAAUUGAGAUCUUAGCCUUCCCUGCACUAAAUUGGUGGAAUCCAUUUAUUUGCCUACCAUAACUAAAGUUUGGUUAGACUAAAAAAAACGAAGUUUGGAUUUAUUUUGAUUAGAUAUGUAUUCUUGACUUUCGUUAUCGAAGUAAACACAUACUAUGGUGGUAUGGAUUUGCAUUGCUUUCACUUUACAAUUCAGCAAUUAUAGUUUUUCAAACUAUUUUAUUGAGAACAUAUACGCUUCAGUCCUACACUAUUUACUCAGUUCUUCUCAAUCUUUUUCGCCCCGCUUAACUUCGUAAAAUAUAAUACUCAGAGCAAUGACAAAAUCAUGGUUAGGUUAAGGAAAUAUAAAUCUCAUAUAUGUUAGUUGGUCUAUAUAUGUGUAAACUUGUUCUAUGUAAAGUUUGACUAUAGGACAUUGCUAUUCGCUGAUUUUUUAUUAUUAAAAAUGUAUGUUUAUGAACUUCUGCCAAAACUUCAUAAAGCACAUGUUGCACUAUAUAAAUAUCUUACAGGUUAAAGUGCUAUCCUGGGAUGAGAUAAUUUAGAGAGUUAGGCGUGUCCAAUAAAAAUUCGAGAGAAAAGAGAAGGCAAUCAAAUAGUUUUGGGGGGAUAAGUGGACCUUUUCAUCUUUGUUUCCAUUUUCUUUUCUCAAUCCAUUCUACAUUUCCACCUUUUUGUGGUGACCACAUCCCUUCUCUUCCAUUGGCAUUUUACAUAGAUAGAUAGUUAUGAUCCAACACAAAAUAAUACUAUGUUCCUACCGGUCCGGUAUGCAUACCUCUCUUGUACUUGGUGUCUUAUUUUAUCAUUAAAAAAUAUGAAUCGUAUAUCCUAUUUUUUUUGUUACCAUGGGAUUUGCAUUCAAAAUAUUAUUUCCAAUGCCUUACUUGUAUGGAAUAUUGUACAACGGCCGAAGAUACUACCCCUAUAUCCUCAAACUUUUUCGUCGUACAUAGUUUACGAGAAUUAGUACAUCCAAAGUUUGUUUUUCAUGAAUCACCCAAGAAUAGGCACAUCAAGAACCAUGUGCUGCAGAUUACUUAAAGUGGUGAACCAUAUCCAAGGAUGCUAUUCCUCGAGAAUCAGAGAGCGUAACAAGGCCCCCCAUUGCCGAUCGUGAUAAGGAUUUCUUGGAGGGCAUAAGGUAUCUUUGAUCGACGAGAACGACCUCACCAUGCUGCAUGCAUGGAUCAUAUUUAUCUCUUCUGUUUUCGAAACGGGUGUUAUCUGCGUGGACCAUGCAUGAUUGCAUGGAUGAAGACAAGACUUAAUUCAAGCAAGAAAUUCUCCCUAGCUAUGUGCGAGAAUAGUACAAUACCACCAUCGAUCUGCACAUCAGUACAAAUAAUUGUGGAAUGUGUGUACUGUGUAGCCAUGCAUUGCUCCCUGAUUUUCUUUCGGACAUUCUUUGGGGAACCUGAUGUGUUCCCAUUAUUCCCAUCACUGGGAAUACCCUGCAAUAAUGCUUCCUGGAUCGUUUCUUGGCUCGUACAAAACGCAGGAAUAUGCCUGCAUUAUUACACUUUAGUUUGCGUGUUAUGCGUUAUUAUACGAAGCGGUUUGUGUAUAUCUGCGGCAUGCUUAGUACUAAUGCUCUGUGAUAUAUUCCGGGGAGAAUAUAUAAUCCGCGAAAUCGUGAUGGAAGAUGCAAUUUUUUGUGUCUCAUAAAGUAGCGGUGGAAGGUACUCUGCGCAGCCAAUAAGAACGUGAUUCUAGCAAAGACAUAUGUUCCUCUCGCUACCUAAAAUCACGUCAUAUAUUGUUCUUUCUUGAGGAUUAGCAUCUAAGCAAGGGAUGGGGCCUUUUUGGGGGGAAAUUUUGUUUUUGCCACUCUAGAUUUUGACAUUUCACUUUUGCCACUCUUAGCUUUUGACAAUUAUCACAAUUGUCAUUUUAUGACAAAAGCAAAAUAAUUUUAUUCACAUUUUCCACUAUUAAAUUUUACAAUGUAUCACAAUUGCCGCCCUGAAUUUUUUUUUAUGCCACGUAAUGACAAAUGUGAUAAUUGUUAAAAUCUAGGAGUGAUAAAAGUGAAAUGUCAAAAUCUAGAGUGGCAUGAGAAAAAUUGACAAAAGCUAGUGUAGAAAAACAAAAUGUCCCCCUUUUUUGGCUCCGCACAUCGCAAUGGUCCUGGAAUGAUCAAUAAAUUUGUUAAAUGUAAUUAAAAAAAUUGUUCUUUCUUAUGCUACUCGGGUGUUGUGUUUUUGUGUAAAUUUUCAUGGUAAAAGGUAUAUUUGUGUGCCGUGGUCAAACAUAAAUAUCUUGUGCUCUAAAGAAGCAGCUUGCAAGCUCUAACUUUUUCUUAAUUUUAACAGAUGGCAAAGAUAAAUUCAUAAGAAAUUACAUGCAUACAAAGGACAUGAACAUGUAUGUGUGCAACCUUUUUCAUAACCUUUUGACAUUUGAUAAAUAAACUAGAUAUUUGCCUGUUCGUUGCUACCGGGUAUAAAUAUUCUAGCACAUUAGCCCAUAGUUUAUUUUUCUGUAUUAUAUGAUUGUGUAAAUACAUAUUUACCAAAUUCUGCCCAUGAUUUUAUUUUGAAUCAUUUAUUGACUUGAUAAAUAAAUAUAGUUUAUUUGUUAAGUAAAUAAAAGAUGUUACAAUAAGGCGGUUUUCAAGGAAUGAUCACCAAGAAAAAAUAUGGAAUGUUGAGCACUCCACCUAGUAGGAAAAAGAGCUCUAAUCUUUUUUAAGUAGUAUAGAUAGAGAUAGAGUUUUUUUGGUUCUUUAAUAUAACAUGUAUUUAUGGCUAGCCCAAUUCCCCUUUUCACCUAGGACAUGUUCGAUGGGGCUGUUUUUAGCGAGCCAGUUUCCCUGGGCGUAAUUUCGCCGUGUGAGAUGCAUUGGAGAAGGACAUAAGAUUCCACAUUCUUCCCUCUAACAUGGUUUCCUCUUCCGCAACAACAAUGCCGGUAUGAACCCCAAAACCUAAGGAUAAGAUGAAGUGGUUACAUCAUGGCCAUGUUGAUGAUUACAUAUCACUAACAGUGGUAGUUUUGUAGCAAUUUAGGGUUAUCAUCCAUUUCAAUAGAUUGGGAUUGCAUGCAUGAAGAUUUAGGGCAAUGUCUUUGACCGUGAGAAAAUAUGUAUGCUCGAUUUGGGAGGGGAUAAAUGGGCCAACAAUUGAGGUCUCCAUGCAUGUUUGUGUGAUCAAUCUUUACUUUGUUGAUGUUCUUGAAUUGCACAUUCUUGAGUUGGUUGCAGAUCAUCUUCUGACAAUGCUCCCGAGGGCCACAUGGAUGCUUUUGUUGUGGAUCCAUGUUAUUCCAUUGAGUACGGUUGAUUGUAUGCGCUCAUGGGAUUGGUUUCACAGGAGUGGUCUUUAGUGCUACCUAUCUGCAUGAUCUCACUUCUAAAAUUAGACAUUACAACACGAGGCACUUGUAUGAAUGAUGAUAUGUCUUUUGAUGGGAACGGUUAAAACACUGCGCAUGCGGUAAGAAAGAGCUCCAAUUUUAAUGGGUCGAUGGACAACGAAAACUUUGGCAUGCUCUUUUUAUGGUUGGCACCUUCUCCCCAAACUUGUUUAUGUGUGCGAAAUUUCAUACAUGUUUUCAUGAUAUGUAAAUUAUUAAAACAAUAGACCUUUUGUGGGGAAGAGCCGGAAUUGUAGGUUGAACAAAUAAAACUUUGUUAUGCUACCUGUCACAAUUGGAGCCUUGCCCUCACAAUGAUAUGAUAGGCUGAAACUGACACGGAGGAUGAUGAAGAGCAAUGUCCUCCGUCGUGGAGAAGAUCCAAGGGUAACAUGUGGCAAAAGAUUUGAGCACAUGCCCGGUUUUACUUGUCCACUUUGAUCUUCAUCAUCAAAAUGGAGAAACAUAUGGUGAAAUAUUUGAUCCAAGCGUAACAAAUUUCGCCGCAUGUUACCCUUGUAUCUUCUCCACAUAGAUGACAUUGUUCUUCAUCGUCCUCCAUGUAAAUUUUAGCCUAUCAUAUCAUUGUGCGGGGAAGUCUCGGGCCCACAUUCCAUUGAGACAAGGCAUGGCAAGUGAUCAAACCACGAAGUAAAACGGGGCCAUGACCAAAUCCCAAAUAGGAGGCAUAAAGGAUAGGGAAACGUUUCCCUUCGGAGCCCCGGCGGAAGCAACGCGUCGGUCACUCGCUGCCCACACGACCCGCGCGUAUGGCCAUGCAACAUUUUUCCCCUGUGGUGAUCGUUUAAACUUGCUACAACCGGUGUCCAAAUUUGCUACGUUUGUCCACUAAAAAAGUUGCAUAUACGUUUGGUUGCAACCUCAGUUCGUCGGUUUUUUUGUUACAAUCGAUUUUUUUUGCUACAACCGUGUUAAUUUUUGCUACAAUUAGUAUCUUUUUUGCUGCAACCGUUCACUAAAAAGUUGCAUACACGUUCGUCAGAGUUGCAGCCCGAGUUCACCAGAUUGUUUUGCUACAACCCUUAUUUUGUUUUGCUACCACGCAUCAGCUUCGUUUUUUUGUUACGACCACGUUGAUAUUUUUUGCUACAACUAUAUUUUUGUUGCAAGCGUGGACGAAAAUUACUGCAUUCUGGACGAAAUUUGUUGCUUAAUAAAAUUUUGCUGAAUGAAGAUCUAACGGUGCGGCCCGCGCGGCCGGCCGAAAGUUUUGACCGACGCGCCAACGCAGAGCACUGCCUAGGAUAUGACACGUUUGGAUGCAGAGGGCGCUCUGAUCUGGCACAUGAACAUGCACACGUUACUUGCGACUCCGCUCAGCUCAUGAUGUAGGGCGAAAUCGCAACACAGAUGCAAGGAGAAGCUAAUUCCUACCCAGAGAUCAAGCAAAAGCAUGUACAGAAGAUAUGCAAUGCAGUGUAGUCACGGAGAGAAAUUACGCAGAGAAGGUAUAUGAACUGAAAUUACGUGUAACUGACUGAAUGAAUGGACCAAAUCCAACACAAAUGUCACGCAGAGAUGUCAGUGCGCAGCACCCUGAUCAAGGCCGAUCACCACGGUCACCACCGCUGCGAUCGGCAUUGCCAUCCUCGGCGACAACGAGGGCGGGCGGAGCCCUCAGAACUCGCCACGCUCACGUCUGUACUCCUCCAGGCCCAGCAACGACAAUGCCUCCAUGAAAGUGGGUAGGCGGUCAUUGAACAGCAGGGAGGUGCCCAUGACCCGGAGCCUGGGGGUCACCCCGCGGAGCAGCUGCAGGGCCAGCGCGGUGUCGGAGACGGGCUCGCCGCCGGCGUCGACGACGGCGCGGGCCAGGGCCUCGAGGCGGCAGCCAUAGGCGUACACGGACAUGUCCCCCUGCGCGGCGACGCGGAGCUCCAGGGCCGGGUCGAACGCGUCCUCGUCGUCGAACAAGAAGCGCAGCUGGGCCCAGACCUGGCGGGCGGUGCCGUGGGCGGCCAUGACCUCGUCCAGCAGCUCGUCGGAGAUGGUGGUGUAGAUCCAGAGGGCGACGGUGACGUCCACGCGCAUCCACUCCUCGUCACCGUCGUGCGUGGGGUGGGCCUGCUCCUCGACGUGGUCGCCGGCGCCGAACUCGGCGAGCGCGGAGAGCAUGGCGUCCCUCCACUCGGCGUAGUUGUCGGCGUCGAAGUCUAGCUUGGAGGGGACGCGGGUGAGGAUGUCCGCUUUGUGGAUGGAUAAGGGCGCCGGCGGAGAAGCCUCGCCGGACGAGGAUGCGUCCAGAGCGCCCUGGCCGGCGGCGGGCAUCGUGUCGAGGUCAGAGGCGGCGCUCAUGGUGGAUGGGCCGGGAGGAAAGAUUACUCAGAUCCAGAAUUAUCUGCCUGAUUCAUCGAUCAGGUUGUGUACGUGCGUCUUUUAUAGAAGGAAAUAGAUGGACAAGAUUUGGCUAAGUACACAUCUGAAUCUGGACGUUUGCAUGCGAUGCAUGCAGCGGAGGAAGCGGCCGUGGGUUGUUGAGAUCCGCUGGGCUGGCGUGAUCCGGACUUUCUUGCAGCGCUCAGGUACUCGGCUACCUGCGACGAACCUGUCAACUGUCAAGCGCUGGUAUCUGCCAAGAAGAUCAAAUGAUAGCGAGUACAUUUUCUCUAAAAAAAUGAUACUACGUAGUACUACAAGAUAAAUCAUUCACAUAGGUGAAUGGAAGAAGCUCAAUGAUUCUGAGACAGAAAAUGUAGGAGUAUUUGGCAAGCACAGAAAGUAUAGGACAAGAACUUAACUAUCUGGUUUCUGAGCUCCAAAUGUUUUACAGUUUUGACCUGGGUUCAGCGUUUCCUGGUAUAUGCAGCGCUUCAUAAUGGCCACAGCCAUGAUAGAGGACUCGGAUUGGGUCUUCCUUCCCGUACUCCUGGCCAUACUCUGCGAUCGCUAUCAAACCGCCCGCUGCUUCUUCGCGCAUAUAAACAGUGAUCGGCAUCCUGAAACACAACGAUGAUUGAUAUUCUUACUGCCUUUGUACCUCAAUGUUGCAAAGGGGCGAAUUUAAAAACAAAACCUACAAAAGAGCUAUCUUUGUUGGACUACAGUAAUAGAUUCUCAUCGACGUGGCAAUUGGAACAUUCCUCGUUAUUUUUCUAUAUAAUAAUGGGGUGAAGACAGAAAACCACAAUCGCAGCACCUUGAGGUGCGUAUAUACUAGGAAACCAAAUAUUAGAAGAAGAAACAAGGUCAAGGGGGAGUAGCCUUAAACGUCAGACACUCAGACUUAAAUAUUGUGCUACAUCAGUAUCACUGACUUGUGACGCGCGGCUAAGGUAAAAGUGAAACAACUUACUGUAAGUGCUCAAUUAGGAUCAUGCAGUGAUAAAUAGCAAACAGUUUGAAAACAUUCUGAUAUCCUGGCUAAUAGUACUCAUCUUUUAAAGCCUAUCUCAACAGAAAAAUAGUCAAAUUACUCACUGAAGAACAUGAGAAGCCAUGAGCAAUUCUGGCUCUCCUCCCCACACAUGUGGCUUCCUAAUCUGAGAGACAUAUGUAUCGAAAUUGCCCUCAAUAAACCUGCAAAUUGAUGUUACAACAAAGGGUAAGCAUACGUGUAGCACAACAUUGCUGUGAAGAAAGAACAACAGCAGGAUAAGGAACUAACCAUUCAGUCUCUGUCCGUCUCUUGAUAAACUCAUCAGCAACCUAACAAUAGAAAAGUUAUCUACAAAUUUCAGACAUGACUAAGCAAGAAAAAAUAUCUUCAGUGUUGAGAACAAUAUUCAUCAAAAGUAUGACAUCAGCUUUACAUUAUAAACAUACCAAUGUUCUUAAAUCAUCAGCGAGCUUUCUCUGAAGAUUCUCAUUAGGUAUGGGUUUCCCUGACCUAAUGCACUCACCAUGAGCCACAGAACGAAACAAGCAUCUACCGUCCCCAGGANNNNNNNNNNNNNNNNNNNNNNNNNNNNNNNNAGGAAUGCCUGCGGGUCUCGUGUGAGAUAGUCACAAAGUGAUUUUAUGCUUUGACUACGUGCAUAUAAGCAUAAUAUAUAUAGAAGCAAAAUGUUCCACACACUCACCAGUGACAGAAUACUCUGUGUAAACUUUCUUCCCAUGAGCACAACUAGUGGAUGUUUUGGAAUCAAUGUCAUUAUCCACCGGACCCUCAGCAUUUGCUAUCCCAGAAACUGCGAAACUCAAGAAAAGUGCAGUGCAUGUACCUCCUAUUUUUUGUGCUGAACUUCUGGUUGUUCGCGAGUUCCAGCUAAUACUAGAAAACUUGCGAUGUGAGGUCAUGUCAAGCUUAGCAUGUAGGAUACGAUCUCUCGCUGAUAAUCCAUGUUUAGACUGUUGCUCCAAGCAGGCAAAGCAUGCCCCAUUUUGCAGACGAGAUGAUGUUGUGCUCUUAGGAGAAAGACUAACUAACCCCAUUUUUGUGUGAUAACUGACUGCAUGUGAGCGAGAAUGCUUCCAGAAGGCCAUGCUCUGUGACAAUCCUCCUAGUAACUGACCAGGCUGAGAAUACAUGGUAUAAGUGCAGCGUUGCAAACAUAUAGCGGGCGUGUAACGCAGCAGCAUCCGCUUCCAGUGGCACCAAGUAUAAACUGAAAAACAUGGUCAGAGGACCAGGUAAGAAUUAGUGGAACAUGGGACAAUUGAUUUCAUCUCAAAUAAAAACAAGACAGCACACUGAAGUAGAUGCAUCAUGUGACAGUAGCAUCACUUUAAGAUGACCAACACAUGUUGCAGAAGAGCUAUAGAUUGUAUAUAUAAGUAUGCAAUUUUGCUAUGAGAAAAUACUCUGCCAGGCCAGGAGAUUGAGAGCAUAGAGCCUGAUGAACAAAUCGACCUUUAGCAAAUUGGCAUCACUCCUUUUGGCUUUGACGACAAAAUAACAGGAAGAAAGGUCCCUGUCUGAAUAUAUGAAAUUACUAGUUCGAACAUACUGAGCACACACUUGACAGAGUAUGCUAUAACGAAACUGCAUACAAGCUAAACCUGUGGACUUCCCAGAAUGUGCUACUACAACAACUGAAUUCCCCUCACAAACCAUGAACAUUUCAAGCACGAGCAGCAAACUGGUCAGCAGAAAACCGAGCUGUUAGUGCUACCACGGAUCCCUGUAGACAGCAGAUAAGGCCACCUCGCCAGUAGACACACUGGACUUGAGCACUCAAAAGAUCACAGCAAGGCAGCACCGGAGGCCAUGGGCAAUCUACGCUUCAUACUAUCAAGUUCCUGUGCACCUACUAUAGUGGAGCGAAGGUGGUACAGAUUACUAGUAUUUCGGAGCAGCCCGGAUUAGACACCGGAGAGAACGGGGGAUUCGCACCUUCAGACUUGGGUCUCCGGAUCGAGCCAAUCCGGCGGGGGGCGGGGAGAUGCGAGGAUGGGGCGGGGACGUGGGUAGCAGGGAGGCCGGAGAUGCUCAGGCUCCGCAGAGGCAGGAAGAGGCGGAGGGGAUUGGGGUCUACUCUCGCCGGAUGGAGCCGAGGAGGCGACGAUGGCUGUGGCCCGUGGGCUCUUGACGGGCGCAUGGCGAAUGGCCCGUUCGUGCGAGUUUUCAUUGCCGUUAUACAAUAGUGGCCCACAGUGUACGUAAAUAGGAGCUUUGUAGGGUUUUGGACUUUGGCUUACAACCCCUUUUUUUAGCAAAUGAGCGCUGCGUCGGAAGAAUUUCAAGACCAUUUGAAAUGGGAUAAGAGCAUGUCACUUGACGCUCUCUCAGAUUCCACCAUGAAUCUCCCUCCGUUCCAUAAUUCUUGUCGUUGUUUUAGUUUAAAUUUGAACUGAAAAAUGACAAGAAUUAUGGGACGGAGGGAGUAUUUUAAAGGAUUUUUUAGAAAAAUUUAAUUUCCAUAGAUUUUUUUUUGGUUUUUGGUUAUCAUCAGUCUUUAUUCGCUUUUUGAUUUUUUUUAAAUUAAAAUUUUGUGUGAAAAAUGCAUUUUUCAUCCGUAAAAGGCACGUCCAUGCUUUUUGGAAAUGUUUUUUUUUUGUGAGAGCAGGGUCGUGUCUAUAGAAAAUGAAAAAAUACGGUUUUUUCCUUUGUGAGAGGUAUCGUUUUGCUUCCGCAAACCUCGGAACCAAAAAAAACGUGUUUUUUCUUCCGCGUGAUCUUGAAAACGAAAAAACAUGUUCUUUUGCUUUAGAGAGGCACGAUCGUGCCUCUCUUAAACGAGAAAAAUGUGUUCUUUUUUUCUUUCUUAAGAGGCACGGGUUUAGGUUUCAUGGAGGCAUGAAUUUACUUCCACAAGACGCACAUUCAUGACUCUUUCGGAAAUGAAAAAAACGUGCUUUUGGUUCGGAUUUUUUGUCUAGUUUUUUCUAUAAAAACAAAAUUCAUCAAAACAUAUCAACAUAGGAUGUAGUUUUAAAGAUUUUGAUAUGAGGAAUGCAACGACGAAACGGUUUGAGAUUUGUAUGCACGAUUUAAGAGAUAAAACAAUCUAAAUAAAUGUAUCUCCGAUUUUUUUUGGAAAACUCGCAGGUUGUGACAACUGACGCACAUGCAGUGUGUCACUUGUCAUAACCUGGAAGGUGAGAGUUUUUGUUAGGGAUACUGGGGAGGUAAGAAUGACCUUUACAAAUAAUGCUUCUUAAUUAUUGAGUUCGGAUGACGGGCUUUCAUGAUAUUUUAAAUUUUUUUAGUCUUCACAAUAUUUUAAUGGAUGGGACCUGUUUUGAGUAAACUUGCUGACGGGCUACGGCCCGCAUAGUUUCUGGUUGCUCCCAAAGGCAACCCAACUACAUGGGCCUGCAUACUCAAAGAAAAAAAUACACGGGCUUUGCUGUUAGAUAGAUAGAGCGAGCGAGAAGCCCUAGAAAAGGGAAGAAAAAUAGAGCGAGCAAGCAAGGCCGCCGCCGACCCGAGGAGCUAUCGCCGCCGUCGUACCAUGGGGCUGCUGGCGCUCCAUCGCCUCAUGUCCGUGCGGCAGGACCGGUACACCUGAUCCCGUCGUGGUAAGCUGCCGCCUCUCGCCNNNNNNNNNNNNNNNNNNNNNNNNNNNNNNNNNNNNNNNNNNNNNNNNNNNNNNNNNNNNNNNNNNNNNNNNNNNNNNNNNNNNNNNNNNNNNNNNNNNNNNNNNNNNNNNNNNNNNNNNNNCUGAACCUGCGUGGCAUGAGACCUGGGUUUUUCCUUGUCAACUCGUGUCAAUGUCUGCACUAUCCAUGACAUGUUAGACCCAGCUAGUCUAGGAACAUAUUCAGAGAGGAGCAGAGUGCAUCGAUGGUAUUUUCAUGGGCAAAUUGCCGAAGGUAGCUUACAGGAGGAGGCACCUAAGCCGACCAGGAACACUGGCGGCGCAGAGUGGGAAACCCUAGAAAUAUCACAUGAGCUCCACAAGCUGAGAAUCAUGGCUUUAUAGCCAAACAAACGCAUUAAAAAUGAUAAAGCAUGGUAAGAAAGGUGGCCGGCGCUCGACGCUGGUGCCGGAUGGCUAUAGCGACGCGGGAGCGAAGCGCAACCCUUGGAUUGACGAUCAACGUGGCAGGUUGCGUCUGGCACGAGCGAAGCGGUACGGGAGUCGCUGGAGCGUUGGAUCGUCGAUGGGUGGCUGAGGUUGCUUGGCGCCAUCAUUCAAACUUUGAACAGCCGCGCCUUCUUCCUCGCUGGGUCCUAACAACUCCCCCCGAUUGACAACAGACCUGUCCCCAGGGAUGAAUGUUGGAAACACCUUCUGGAUGAAAGUGGCAUCUUCCCAAGUAGCGUCGCUCUCCUCCAGGUUUGUACACUUGAUCAACCAUCGAACCACAAGUAUUUGGAUAUCGCCCUGAACUCUCGGAAUGAGCUUUCUCUCCAGCAGUUUCUCUGGUUCCAGUAGGAUGGAUCCAUUGGCAUGCAGAAGAGGGAGGUUGGGGUUGGGUAUUGCUUUUGGGCCCAGGUGUUGCUUUAGCUGACUGACAUGGAAGGUGGGUGGAGCUUGCAAUGGUCAGGAAGUAGUAGCUUAUAGGCUACAGGCCCAAUCUUUUGUAUGAUCCUAAAAGGACCAUAAUAUUUGGAGUGAAGUUUGAGGCAUCUGUGAACACUAAGUGUAGUGUGUCUGUAGGGUUGCAACUUGAGGUAGACCAUAUCUCCCACUGCCAGGGAUCUUUCUGAUCUUUUCUUGUCAGCAAAAUGCUUCAUUCUCUCUUGAGCCUUGACCAGGUUAGCUUUAAUUUGAGCAGCAAUCUAUUCUGCAUUAAGGAUGGAAGUGAACUCCUGAGCUUGAUCAGGUGGGUACAGGGCAACUUCUGCUAGCAUUGUAGGGGGUCUGUUGUAAAGUGCUUGGAAGGGUGUAAUUUUCAAAGAUGUAUGAUAGCUGGUGUUGUACCACCAUUCAGCCAAAGAGAGCCAACUCAUCCAUUUGCUAGGUUGAAGGAAGGCCAUGCAUCUGAGAUAGUUUUCCAAGCACUGAUUUACCCUUUCUGUUUGGCCAUCUGAUUGUGGGUGGUAGGAGGUACUCAUCUACAAUUUAAUGCCCAAUCUCUUGAAUAAUUCUUCCCACGGAUUACUGGUAAAGAUCAUGUCCCUGUCUGUAACAAUGACAGAUGGGAGGCCAUGCAGUUUGAAGAUGUUGUGAGUGAAAGCAGUGGCCUGAUGACCCACAAGUAUAGGGGAUCUAUCGUAGUCCUUUCGAUAAGUAAGAGUGUCGAACCCAACGAGGAGCAGAAGGAUCUGACAAGUGGUUUUUAGCAAGGUAAUAUCUGCAAGCACUGAAAUUAUCGGUAUGUGAGAAGAUUCGUAGCAAGUAACAAGUAACAAAAGUAACAAUGGUGCAACAAAGUGGCCCAAUCCCUUUUGUAGCAAGGGACAAGCCUGGACAAAGUCUUAUAGGAGGUAAAACGCUCCCGGGGACACAUGUGAAUUUAUGUCAAGCUAGUUUUCAUCAUGUUCAUAUGAUUCGCGUUCGUUACUUUGAUAGUUUGAUAUGUGGGUGGACCGGCGCUUGGGUGCUGCCCUUACUUGGACAAGCAUCCCACUUAUGAUUAACCCCUCUCGCAAGCAUCCGCAACUACUAAAGAAUAAUUAAGACAAAGUCUAACCAUAGCAUUAAACCAGUGGAUCCAAAUCAGCCCCUUACGAAGCAACGCAUAAGUUAGGGUUUAAGCUUCUGUCACUCUAGCAGCCCAUCAUCUACUUACUACUUACCAAUGCCUUCCUCUAGGCCCAAAUAAUGGUGAAGUGUUAUGUAGUCGAUGUUCACAUAACACCACUAGAGGAAAAACAACAUACAACACAUCAAAAUAUCGAACGAAUACCAAAUUCACAUGACUACUUAUAGCAAGACUUAUCCCAUGUCCUCAGGAACAAAAGUAACUACUCACAAAGCAUAAUCAUAUUCAUGACCAGAGAGGUAAUGAGUAGCAUCAAGGAUCUGAACAUAAACUCUUCCACCAAGUAAUCCAACUAGCAUCAACUACAAAGAGUAAUUAACACUACUAGCAACCUUACAAGUACCAACCGGAGUCGCGAGACGGAGAUUGGUUACAAGAGAUGAACUAGGGUUUGGAGAUGGGAUGGUGCUGAUGAAGAUGUUGAUGGUGAUGAGUCCCCUCCGAUGAGAGGAGUGUUGGUGACGACUGUUAGGGCAUAUUUCUCCUAAGUGGUUUUAGUGAUUGAUGACAAUUGUUGUGCGGACUAAUCUUGUGUCCUCAGCAUUUCCGAAUAUUCUCCUCUAGGCACAAGAUGACUCGACGCCCCUCGGAGGAUCUCCAAGGCGUGAGGAGAAUAUGGUGGCCCUAGUGGCUUAUUGGGGAGCAUUGUGCCUCCACACCGCUCCAACGGAGACGUACUUCGUGUCAAAGGGAAGGAACUUCGGUAACACAUCCUCGUCUUCAUCGGUUCCACUUGUGGUUAUCUCUUACCUUUACUUUGUAUAUGUUGGUGUUGUAGAGUAUCUCCUACGUGCUUCGUUACUCGUUACUAAGUAGCAUCAUAUAGGUUGUCCUCCUAGUGCCAUGUUAGUGAACCUUUAUGAUUGCUACUCCGUAUUUAUUUAGAAAAGCUAAAACUUGGUAGUUGCCUAUUCACCCCCCUCUAGUCAACCAUAUCAAUCCUUUCAAUUGGUAUUAGAGCCACGUCUCUUUAUUAAGGUUUUCACCACCCGAAGAGAAUGGAAGGCGAAGAGGGAGUUCCCCAUGGGCAACCCGAGGCCAUGGACUUGACUUCGGUCACAAGGGACGACUUGAAUACGGCUAUGGCCGCCCUCAAGACGUCCUUGACGAAUGAAGUCAAGACCAUGCUUAAAGAGUUAAUUGAGGGAUUUAAAAGUCCACCCGAACCGGCGUUAGUGGUUAAACCCACCAUCACUGAUUCGGAGGCCAAUUCCUCUAAGGAAGCGGCUAAAGGUAUGCGACCUUCCUCAUCUCUCGAAAAGGAUGGGACUGGAACCUAUGCCUGAGUUCCACCUCCCAUGGUCUAUGGAGGACUUGUUCCCACACCGCGUCUUAAUCCUGUUGGUCCUCCUCCUAAGCUUGUUAAGGGUGAUUUUGCUAACUGGGUGUUUUCUAUUAAGUCUCAUUUGAAUCACAGCUCAACAAACUUAUGGAGAAUCAUCGAGCAAGGCUACUAUCCUCAUGACCCAAGCAACCUCACUCCAAGAGAAGAAGCGGACAAUAUAUAAUCACUCCGCAUUGUUUAUUUUACAGUCCGCCAAAGUUGUCAGAAUCGCGAUUCUGAAUCGGAUCGGAGCUCCGUUGCUAGGAUCGUGAAUCGUAGAAUCUUAACUAUCAGGAUCGUAGAAACUUAGAUUCUAUUAGCAAAAUCGUAGAAUCGGAGGGGCUAGUUUGGAUCGUAAGAUCGUAAGAUUCUAAGACUUGAGUCACGAUUCUGACAACUUUGCAGUCCGCAGUACCGCCUGAAGAUCUUCCUCACUUGCGCCCCUUCUCUCUGGCCAAGGACUGUUGGGAGCACAUUAUGGUGCUAUACAAGGGAAGCUCUAGCAUUCAACAGUCAAACUAUGAAGUAGUACUUGAUCAGGCUGAUGAGUUUCUAAUGAAGGAAGAUGAGGACCCUCAUGAUCUCUAUCGGAGGGUGACUGCUAUUGUUGUUGCUCUCAAGGAUCAUGGGAGCAAGGAUGUGGAUGACACAUGGGUCAAGCGCAAGUUUCUUAAGGCCAUCAUGCCUUUCAACAAAGCCAUGUCAUCACUCAUUCGCCAAUGACCAGAUUUCCACUCGUUGUCUUCCAGUGAGGUGUUGGAUGAAUUCAUUGCAAUGUCAAUCAUGAACGAGACCGUGACAAUGCACUUGCUCGAGUUCGGUCAAAGACAGCUUCACCUAACCUUGCUUUGAAGGCAAAGGCUACUUCUGAAGAAGAAGAGGAGGAUGAAGAAGAGGAGAGCUGCCCUGAAGACACUAAGUAUGCUUAUCAUGAGCACAUGGCUCUUGCGUCGAGGCAAUUCUGGGGCAACAAGAGGAACUCAAGACCCAACUUCACCAAGAACAACUCAAGUGGGUUCAAACCCAAGCAACGAGCCAGGACAUGCUAUAACGGUGGUAAUGUGAGCCAUUUCGUGGCGGAAUGUCCUUAUGAGAAGAGGGAAGACAGCGGAAGCAAGCUCAUUCGCAAGGAAAAAACAAAGUCAUUCCCAAGCAAGAACAACUUUGUCAAGAAAUCCCAUCCAAAGGGUAUGGUGGCACUUGAAGAGUACCCCUCCGAUGAUAAUGAUGAUGAUGAUGUGGUGGCAACUGCGACUGUCGCCAUUGCCACUCCUUCUCCCAAGAAGGUGUCCCUCUUCAACGCCCCAACGAUAAUCACAUCGCCAAGUGCCUCAUGGCUAAAGGUAUCACUCAGGUAACACCCAACAUUAAGACCAACAUCACUAGUGCUCCCUCAUUGUUGAAUUGUGUUGAUGAUAGUGAUGUUGUGGAACUUAAUGAGCAUGAUCUUGACAAAUUUCUGUGUACUAUCAAAGGAGAAACCAAGAGGCACUUUUUUGCCAUUUUGGAACAAUUGGUGAGGCUAAUGACCUCAUCGAGUCUCAUGAGGAGACCAUCUCCGAGAUGCAAGGUCAUAGUUGUGACUAUGCCUAUGAUAUUGCCGAACUUUCUAUUGCUCUAGAAACAGAGCGCACUCUUCGUUUGGCUCCUGAGGAGUCAUACAAUGAUGAUUGCGCUAAAUUGCAAAAGAAACUAGAUCAUGCUACUAUUCUUACUCGUAUGCUUAAGUCUGAAAAGGAUGCUCUUGGGGUUGACCAUGACAGACUCAAAAUGGAGUUUGACACACUUGACAAGGCUCACAAGGCCUUGAAAGGUAGUCAUUUCUCCCUGAAAGAGUCUCAUGAUCAACUUCAAGCAAAGCUUACCAAGGAAAUCUCUACUUGUCCUUCUUUUGUUUUAAUUGAUAAUGCUUGUACAACUAACCCUUGUUGUGAGCAUGUACAUCUUGUGGAGGAAAAUGCCAAGUUGAAGGAUAAACUUGAGAAGGGCCUUGUGUCAUGCAUCCAAAGCAAGAAGAUCCUGAACGACCUUUUGAGCAAUCAAAAGGGUGUGGUAGGAAAGGAGGAGCUUGGACUUACAUCUAAGUCUAAAAGAAAAAAGAAAGAACAGGAACAACAGAUCCCCCACCCUCAUGGACAUCUUUGUCAAAGAGGACGAAGGAACUCAGGAGGUGAACAGGAACAAGGUGGAAAAUGGGAGCAUCAAGAAGGGCAAAACCAUUCCUACCAACACGGCCGACAAACUAAAUCCUUCCUAUGUUUAUGGCGUGCUGGUGAUGGGCAUGUUUAUGCCAGAUUUAUUGGUUCUUACUAUGAGUACAUUGAAUGUGCUAUUUGGGUUCCUAAGACCCUUAUCUCUAACAUUAAAGGACCCAUUCAAAAAUGGGUACCUAAAACCAAGCCUUGAUCUAUUACAGGAGUUUGCUUCCGGAGGGGUGUCAUGGUUGCUCGAUAGUGGAGCAACAAAUCAUAUGACCGGAAGCAAGGUGGAUGUGCAUCCUUCCCCAUCUAUGCCCACCCAUGUCCAAUUCGCCGAUGCAUCAUCGUCAAAGGUAUUGGGAUUUUGUAAGGUGGUCAUCUCUCAAGAGUUAUCUAUUGAGAAUGCCAUGCUUGUUGAAUCCCUUGCUUAUAAUUUACUUUCGGUUCGUCUACUUGCAAUCAUGGGCUUCUCCACAUUCUUUAAUCUUGAUACUGUGGUCCUUUUGUGGAGCAAGACUCUUAAAGUAGCCUAUGUUGGACAUGUCGAAAAUGAUCUCUAUGUGGUGAAAUUUUCAAAGCGACCCACUAAGACUGCGACAUGUCUAAUGGCUAAAGUUGAUGUGGGCUGGCUUUGGCAUCGCCGACUAGCCCAUGUCAAUAUGAGAUGUUUGCAAAGUCUCCUUAAAGGGGACCAUAUUCGUGGACUAACAAAUGUGAGUUUUGCCAGAGAUCGUGCUUGCAGUGCCUGCAUUGAAGGAAAAAUCCAUGAAACUGCUCAUCGUCCAACGACUCUCAUUUACACUAAGAGACCGUUGGAGCUCCUUCAUAUGGAUCUCUUCGGUCCCCCAUCAUUUGAUAGUCUUGGGGGCAGAAAGUACUGCUUGGAUUGUUGAUGAUUACUCAAGAUACACUUGGGUAUAUUUCUUCAAGAGGAAGAGUGAGACUCAACAGACUGUUAUCAACUUUGCUAAUGAAGCUCAACGUCAACAUGAAGCAAAGAUUUUGAUGAUCAGAAGUGACAACGGCACCGACUUCAAGAACUACACCUUGGAUGAGUUUCUAGGUGAUGAGGGAAUAAAACAUCAAUAUUUGGCACCAUAUACCCCUCAACAAAAUGGUGUGGCAGAAAGGAAGAACCGGACACUGAUGGACGCUGCAAGAACAAUGAUGGCGGAAUUGAAAUCUCCAUAUAACUUUUGGGUCGAAGCCAUCAACACAGCAUGUCAUGCAUCCAAUCGGCUCUAUAUCCCAAAUCUCCAUAUAACUUUUGGGCCGAAGCCAUCAAUACAGCAUGUCAUGCGUCAAAUCGGCUCUAUAUCCGCAAAGGCUUGAACAAGACCCCAUAUGAGAUUCUCACCGGAAACAAACCCAAUCUCAAGUACUUCCAGGUAUUCGGGUGUAAGUGUUUCAUUCUCAGGAAAGGUGCACGUUUAGCUAAAUUUGAUUCUAGAGCACAUGAGGGCAUCUUUGUUGGUUAUGCUACAAACUCUCAUACUUACCGUGUCCUCAAAAAGUCCACCGGACUCAUUGAGGAGACGUGUAACGUGAAGUUUGAUGAAAAUAAUGGCUUCCAAGUGGAGCAAAGUGGUCUAUCUGAUGUAGGUGAUGAAAUUCCUCCCCAAGCCAUAAGAAGAAUGGGGAUUGGUCAAAUACUCCCCAUUGAGGAACCCCUUGUGGCCGAAGGAGAAGGACAAUGCUCUACUCAAGUGGAGCCAUCAUCCUCUCAAGUCCCACACGCUUCCGAUGAACAAAGAGAAGACCCUCAACAAGUUGAACAAACUCAAGAUCAAGACCAAGUGACUAAAGAUGGUGAUGUGCCCCAUGAAGUACACGCACUCACCCAAGGUUCCGAACCGGCUCAAGAUCAAGAUCAAGUGCAACCACAUGAUCCAGACCAAAUAGAAGCACAAGAUCAAGAUCAAGAGCAACCACAAGAACAAGGACAAACUAGUGAACCUGCUCAAGACGAAGAUCAAGUUGAUCAGGAUGCUGUCUCUCAGUUCCUUUCUGCGGCGUCUAAAAGGGGUACUGGUGCCAAGGGAAGAUCAAAACGCAAGGGCACGCAAAGCAAUCAAGUCGAUGUUCCCCAGUUAUCCAAUGAAGAACUCUUGGAGCGUUGCGCAGCCAAGAUUGCAAACAAGCUAAGAGUCAAGUCACAUAUUAUGAAGAAUGUACUUGGUAGUUUGAAAAAGGGAGUAUCCACUCGUCAACAAAUUUGGAAUUAUUGUGAGCAUCACACGUUUAUUUCGUAUUGUGAACCUCAACAGGUACAGGAAGUGCUCGAUGAUGAGGAUUGGCUUAUGGCCAUGCAUGAAGAACUCAACAAUUUCGAGCGCAAUCAAGUCUGGGAUUUAGUGCCAAGGCCAAAGGAGGAACAUAAUGUCAUCGGGACCAAAUGGAUCUUCAAAAACAAGCAAGAUGCCAAUGGAAUUGUGAUUCGAAACAAGGCAAGAUUGGUGGCUCAAGGCUACUCCCAAGUCGAGGGUAUCGACUACGGUGAAACCUUUGCCCCUGUUGCUCGUUUUGAAUCUAUUCGCAUGAUGCUUGCAUUUGCUUCUCAUCAUAAUUUCAAAAUACAACAAAUGGAUGUGAAAAGUGCCUUUCUUAAUGGUCCUUUAAAUGAGUUGGUAUAUGUCAAACAACCCCCGGGGUUCGAACAUCCCAAGCUCUCCAAUCAUGUGUACAAACUUAAUAAGGCACUCUAUGACCUUAAACAAGCCCCACGUGCGUGGUAUGAGUAUCUUACUGAGUUAUUACAUGAUCGUGGGUUUGAAAUUGGGAAGAUUGAUCCCACUCUUUUUACUAAGAGGGUCAAAGGGGAUUUGUUCAUAUGCCAACUAUAUGUUGAUGACAUCAUUUUUGGUUCUCCUAACGAAUCUUUCAAUGAAGAAUUUGCUGCACCGAUGACUGAGAAAUUUGAGAUGUCUAUGAUGGGUGAGUUGAAGUUCUUCCUCGGGUUUGAGAUCAAACAAGGCUUAGAAGGGACUUUCAUUAAACAAGCCAAGUACACUCAAGACAUGCUCAAUAGGUUUGAGCUAGAGGAUGUCAAGCCGGUCAAGUUUCCCAUGCCAACACGAUGCAAGCUUGACAGUGAUCCCAAUGGUAAAGGAGUGGAUCAAAAGGUACAUCGCUCCAUGAUUGGAUCCCUCCUUUAUCUUUGUGCAUCUAGACCUGAUAUCAUGUUGAGUGUAGGGAUUUGUGCAUGGUUUCAAUCUGCACCAAAGUAAAGUCAUUACAUGGCUGUGAAACGAACCUUUCGAUAUUUGGCUCAUACCCCAAACUUUGGUCUAUGGUAUCCCAAAGGAGCAAACUUUAACCUAGUGGGCUAUUCUGACUCAGAUUGGGCAGGCGACUAUGUGGAGAGGAAGUCAACCUCUUGAGGAUGCCAAUUCCUUGGUCGUUCACUGGUAAGUUGGUCUUCAAAGAAGCAGAAUUGUGUAUCACUAUCCUCCACCGAAGCUGAGUAUGUAGCAGCUGCAAGUUGUUGUGCCCAGUUGCUAUGGAUGAGGCAAACUUUAAAGGACUACGGUGUCACCUGUGACAAAGUGCCUCUCCUAUGUGACAAUCAAAGUGCUAUCAAGAUUUCUCUCAAUCCGCUUCAACACAGCAAGACCAAGCACAUUGAUAUUCGCCAUCACUUCAUUCAUGAACAUAUCAAGCUAGGUGAUAUUGAGAUUCACUUCAUCAACACUGAAGAGCAACUUGCAGAUAUUUUCACUAAGCCCCUAGAUGAAGCAAGGUUCCGGGAGUUAAGGCAUGAGCUAAAUAUCAUUUAUUCAAGUAAUGUGGAUUGAAACUAGGCACUUUGAACCUCACUCUACAUUACAUCUUGCUCUAGAUGUAGGCAUGGACAUAGGGUGAGUGUUGUUCUCUCAAUGAACUUUCCCUCCCCCCAUUAUGCAUAAAUCGAUCAAGUCUUUCACUUUGGCCAUCACCGAAUGGCACUUCUACUUCAAAGACGAGAUAUGGUCAUGAACCCAAGGAUAAUUCUUCGCGGUGUCAUACCAUUUGUCUCAAACAUUGGUGGCCUAGGCCAUCGCCCUCUCCCCUGGAGUCUCUGUGUUGUUUCUCUUUCUUCGGUGUGUCUUUCUUGUUUCCGUGUUUUGUUUUCUCUUGGCUUGAUCAAGUUUUUCCACCACCUAAGGAGUAGAGAGCUCUUUUUGGCCAUUUUUGUGACUUCAAGCACGGUACUACCGCCCCCAGCACGGUAGUAAAAUUUUACUACCGCUGGGGGAGCGGUACUACCGCUCACCAUGCGGUACUACCGCCCCCAGCACGGUACUAUUUUUUUACUACCGUUGUGGGCGCGGUACUACCACACGUAGAGCGGUACUACCACGAUGACCGCGGUACUACCGCGCCGCCUCGCCCAGGGGACUAUUUAAAGGGCCGGGAGGCCUUUCUUUUUCCCCAUAUGCCCCGAGUUCUUCCUUGUCUCUCUCUCUCCUCUCCUCAAAAACUGCCCUAAGGCAUCACCGGAUCUCACUAUCCGGUAUCGUCCUCUGAUUCCGACCGGUGGGACUCUUCCCCACACGCCAUGGAUACCGGUACUGCCCCUCAUCUGCAAUCUUAUGCUUUGUUCGUUGAUUCCUUCUAGGGAUAGGGCAUAUGGUCUCAUGGCAUCGUGAUUGGGAGUUAGUGGUAGCUUUUUGGGUAAUAUGAUUCCUUGCAUAGGUGGUGUGUGUGCCUAGGCCUGCAUAGGAUCCAUAUCUACGGUUUUCAAUCUACUCCACAAGUUUUUCCCUGUCAAAUUUGAUUAGAUCUGUGAUUAGGCCGUCCCUUGCGGUACUACCGCCCCUCGUGGCGCGGUACUACCGCUCGAGGAGCGGUACUACCGCUCCACCUGCGGUACUACCGCUCCCCUUUGUGCACACGCACUGAUCUAUUGUGUUUUAUGGGGUUUUUGGUCGUUCUUGUUCAUUGCCUUGACUUGUUUCUCCCUUCUUUCGUGUUUUGUGUGUUGUUUUGUGUAUCCCAGGUGGUGGUUCCCGUCGUUCCAACCCGUCUCGCACUGCCAGCUCCAAGCGACCUUCCUCUGAUCCGUCUGAAGGCUCCAAUGCCCCCAAGCGCUCGUUCAAGAAGCCUGCUCCAAAGAAGCCCUCAGUCAACUGGAACACUAUGCCGCUUGCCGAGUUCCAACACCGUCGCAAGCUCAACCCAUAUGCCAACAAUAGGGAGGAGUUCCCUGGCGGUGAACAGUUUUGGACUCGCGAUCAAUUCUUAAUCUAUGAAGACAUGCUCAGAUCAAAGGUGUUGGGGAACGUCGCAUGGGAAACAAAAAUUUCCUACGCGCACGAAGACCUAUCAUGGUGAUGUCCAUCUACGAGAGGGGAUUUCCGAUCUACGUACCCUUGUAAAUCGCACAGCAGAAGCGUUAAGAAACGCGGUUGAUGUAGUAGAAUGUCCUCACGUCCCUUGAUCCGCCCCACGAACCGUCCCGCGAUCAGUCCCACGAUCUAGUGCCGAACGGACGGCACCUCCGCGUUCAGCACACGUACAGCUCGACGAUGAUCUCGGCCUUCUUGAUCCAGCAAGAUAGACGGAGAGGUAGAUGAGUUCUCCGGCAGCGUGACGGCGCUCCGGAGGUUGGUGGUGAUCUUAUCUCAGCAGGGCUCCGCCCGAGCUCCGCAGAAACGCGAUCUAGAGGUAAAACCGUGGAGAUAUGUGGUCGGGCUGCCGUGGCAAAGUUGUCUCAAAUCAGCCCUAAAACCUCUGUAUAUAUAGGGGGAAGAGGGGGAGCCUUGCCUUGGGGUCCAAGGACCCCCAAGGGGUUCGUCCGAGCCAAGGGGGGAGUCCUCCCCUUCCAAACCGAAUCCAACUAGGUUUGGAAGGAGGAGUCCUUCCCCCUUUUCCCACCUCCUCUUUUUUUUCUCUUUGAUUUUCUUCCCAUGGCGCAUAGGGCCUUCUUGGGCUGUCCCACCAGCCCACUAAGGGCUGGUGCGCCACCCCCAAGGCCUAUGGGCUUCCCCGGGGUGGGUUGCCCCCCCCCCCGGUGAACACCCGGAACCCAUUCGUCAUUCCCGGUACAUUCCCGGUAACUCCGAAAACCUUCCGGUAAUCAAAUGAGGUCAUCCUAUAUAUCAAUCUUCGUUUCCAGACCAUUCCAGAAACCCUCGUGACUUCCGUGAUCUCAUCCGGGACUCCGAACAACAUUCGGUAACCAACCAUAUAACUCAAAUACGCAUAAAACAACGUCGAACCUUAAGUGUGCAGACCCUGCGGGUUCGAGAACUAUGUAGACAUGACCCGAGUGACUCCUCGGUCAAUAUUUAAUAGCGGGACCUGGAUGCCCAUAUUGGAUCCUACAUAUUCCUCGAAGAUCUUAUCGUUUGAACCUCAGUGUCAAGGAUUCAUAUAAUCCCGUAUGUCAUUCCCUUUGUCCUUCGGUAUGUUACUUGCCCGAGAUUCGAUCGUCAGUAUCCGCAUACCUAUUUCAGUCUCAUUUACCGGCAAGUCUCUUUACUCGUUCCGUAAUACAAGAUCCCGCAACUUACACUAAGUCACAUUGCUUGCAAGGCUUGUGUGUGAUGUUGUAUUAUCGAGUGGGCCCCGAGAUACCUCUCCGUCACACGGAGUGACAAAUCCCAGUCUCGAUCUAUACUAACUCAACGAACACCUUCGGAGAUACCUGUAGAGCAUCUUUAUAGUCACCCAGUUAUGUUGCGACGUUUUAUACACACAAAGCAUUCCUCCGGUGUCAGUGAGUUAUAUGAUCUCAUGGUCAUAGGAGAAAAUACUUGACACGUAGAAAACAGUAGCAACAAAAUGACACGAUCAACAUGCUAUGUCUAUUAGUUUGGGUCUAGUCCAUCACAUGAUUCUCCUAAUGACGUGAUCCAGUUAUCAAGCAACAACGCCUUGUUCAUAAUCAGAAGACCCUGACUAUCUUUGAUCAACUGGCUAGCCAACUAGAGGCUUGCUAGGGACAGUGUUUUGUGUAUGUAUCCACACAUGUAUAUAAGUCUUCGUUCAAUACAAUUAUAGCAUGGAUAAUAAACGAUUAUCUUGAUACAGGAAUUAUAAUAAUAACUAUAAUUAUUAUUGCCUCUAGGGCAUAAUUCCAACAGAAGGACAUGACUUAUUUUGGGGAGGCCAUUGCUAUGGUGGAGCAACUUCAGAUUGCGAACCUCAUCUCGUUUCACCAGGAUUUUGAUAUUUCCAUUGUAGCUCACUUCUUUGCUACAGUGCACUUUCACCAGGACGACGCACGUACUAUGACUUGGAUGACAAAUGGAAUGCAGCUGACUGCUACCUGGAAAGACUUCAUGGAUCUUCUUCAGGUCAGGGAUGAGGGCCUCACUACUGCUGUUGGCUUGCACCCCCAUGCCAAGGCCCAAGCCGCUCCAAAGGAGAAGCUGCUCCCAUACCUCUCUGUGAAGCACACCCCCACUGGCGAGGUAUCCUAUGUCAUGAACCCCUUCUUGGAUGUGAUGCACCGGAUCUUUCGCAACACACUGUUUCCCACGGUUGGCAACAAGGACCAGGUGCACUCCUACCUGGUAGACAUGCUCCUCUUGUGUCAGAAAGCGAAGAAUCGUCAGUGUCAGCCCCUUGAUGUUUCUCAUGUCAUGUGGACUGAACUCUACUCUGCAGUCAUUAACCGUAAGGUCCCAAUCUACGGUCCCUACCUAUUCUACUUUAUCAAGGCCACUUGGAACAAGAUCUUCCCCGGGGCUGAGUUUGUUGCUCCUGAUUGGGUCUGCCAUGAGCCCAUCAAGCUGCGUCAGAAAGACAAAUGGGCCAACACCUCCUCUCGUCAGGCUGCCCCAAGGGAUUCUGAUGACGAUCUGUCAGGCGCUGAGGAUGAGGCCCCUCCAGAGGCUCCUCGCCAGGGUGAGGGUUCCCACACAUGUGCGGCACCGUCUUGGGCCACACGGCUCACUGACAGGAUGAAGACCCUGUUCUGUAUGCAGGCCAAGGGCCAGUACAGCACACAUGUUGCUCAGAAGGAGAUUCACCAGCGCGACAAGUUGAUCAUGAGGAAGCUUGACAUACCCUUCUCCAGCGGUUCUGAGAGUGAGAUCACCCCCGAGGCGACAUGGAUGGAGAAACAUCAUCUUCAGUGGGCUGCAUCUGAGGAGGAGGAGGACACCGACGAUGGCUCCAAUGAGGAGUAUCGUGAUGAGGAGGACACCGACUGAUGUUUCUACCACUUGGGUGUUAGGGCUCCUCUCUGCCUUUUUGGUGUUUUGAUGCCAAAGGGGGAGAGAGUGUAGGAUUUGCUUGUUCUCUAGUUUUUCUGGUCUUUUGGUUUGAUAAAACUUUGUUGCUUUCGUUCGCUACUUUUGCUUUAUGGUUGAGACUAAGUCGUCAGAUCCUAUCUUAAUGUGAGAUAUAUGUUUUAUCUUGCUUAUCUUCUGUCUCAGUAUUAUCAGUUUUAUCAUUUUAUUAUUAACCUAUGAGACAUAGUAUCUUGUGCCAGUAUUCCUUGGCUCACAUGCUUUGCCAUGCUUCAAUAUUCUUCAUCUCUCGUACGUAUGUAGUAAGGAUGGCUUAGUCUAUAUAAUCUAGGGGGAGUGCUCUCUUUGUGGUUAGUAGUUGGUAUGCACAAACCCAGAGGAAACUAGCCCCCUUGUGAUAUCUUUGAAGUUUGCAUAUGCCUAUAACAAUUUGUUUGUGCAAAUCCAACAUUGUCACCAAUCCACCAAAAAGGGGGAGAUUGUUAGGGCAUAUUUCUCCUAAGUGGUUUUAGUGAUUGAUGACAAUUGUUGUGCGGACUAAUCUUGUGUCGUGAGCAUUUCAGAAUAUUCUCCUCUAGGCACAAGAUGACUCGACGCCCCUCGGAGGAUCUCCAAGACGGAUUUUCUUCUGCAUUUCUCUUCCUAGUUUGAGUCAUAGGAAAGUCUUCUUACCAAGAGGGGGUCCGCGUCGGAAAGGUUUGGGAGGAAUCCUCACGCACAAACCUCAUGCACCCACCCAUAUUUUAGCCUCAAUGGAGCACCAUUGUGUUUUCCUUGCCUAUGUGAAAAAGGGUAAGCGGUAGUACCGUUGUCCCAGCGAUAGUACCGCUCUCAGAGCGGUAGUACAUUUUUACUACCGCUCCAGGAGCGGGACUACCGUCCCAGGUGCGGUAGUAAACUUUUACUACCACUCCAGGAGCGGUACUACCGCCCGAAGAACGGUAGUAGUUUUUUACUACCGCUCCAAGGGCGGUACUACCACCCUCAGUGCGGUAGUAUUAUUUUACUACCGCACCGACGGGCCUUUUCUCGCAUACUUUCCCACGGAGGGGGUGGCGCGGUAGUACUCCCCGGUACUACCGUGGUUGGUGAGGAGCUGAGCGGUAGUACCGCUCGUGCAUUUAUGUGGUAGGUGGGUAACGGUUGGAUCUGCCCCACCUACUAUAUUAAGGCAUCUCCUUCUUCCGUGAGCCCACCUUUAACCUCUCUAAGCUCCAUUGUUUCCCCACAAGCUCAUUUUAGCCCGAUCUCUCUCCCUAGCCAAUCAACCUUGUUGAUUUUCUAGGGAUUGCUUGAGAAGGCCUUGAUCCACACUUCCACCAAAGGAUAUUUGAUUCCCCCUACUAAUCCCUUGCGGAUCUUGUUACUCUUGGGUGUUUGAGCAUCCUAGACGGUUGAGGUAACCUCGGAGCCACAUUCCAUUGUGGUGAAGCUCCGUGGUCUUGUUGGGAGCCUCCAAGCUUUGUGUGGAGAUUGCCCCAACCUUAUUUGUAAAGGUUCGGUCGCCGCC